This 65085-nucleotide long non-coding RNA is filed under the name Vitis vinifera (wine grape). RNAcentral describes it as "long non-coding RNA (VVIN_LNC004466)". The record is from RNAcentral. Lineage: Eukaryota; Viridiplantae; Streptophyta; Magnoliopsida; Vitales; Vitaceae.
AUGCAAUUUGGAGUUGGAGUUCGCCAGAUUCCGUGAGAAAUAAGUUGGGAGGAGGCAGCAGCCGGACUUACACCGCACAAUGGCAAAUAGUGUGCUAGAGGAAGAAGCUGCAAGGUAUGGGUUAGUUAUAAAUUCAAAGGGUAUAAGGGCACUAGGGUCUUCCUCUUCUAAUUUCUUUUAUUUUGGUUGGACUCCGAAGAGGGAGUAUUACGACUAUUCAGGGGCGCUAAGGGAGGGCAUUUAGGAAGGAAGUGGGUUACGAAAACCAAUUGCAGAUGAGCACGCUGAGAAAGGGGAUGGCUGUUGGGACUUGGUAGAGGUCAACAACGCCGACCCUUUGGAAAGGAAUUCGGGGUGGACUAUAGGCCAGACUGAAUCCCAAGAAGGAAGGAAGGAAAAACAGCUUAAUUAGGAGGAAAAUAGUCUGGUUAAGUUCAGUCAUUUUUUAGGCUUAUCAACUGAAGGGUUGGAGAAGGAAAUUUUGAACUUCUUGGGCAAAAUCAGGAAAAUGAGGGAGAAGAUACACAGUAAAGGUCUGCUGGAGAAUUCAAGAUUUGAAAGGGAGCUUAAGAGGCUGGAGUGUUCAAUUAAUUAUGAGGGGGAUGUUAAGAAAAAAGGUCCUAUUCAGGGCAGAGGGAACCAGAUCGCAGUUGCCCAAUGAACCUAAAAAUAUUGAGUUGGAAUGUGAGGGGAGUGAAUGAUAGUUCCAAAAUGAAAUUAAUUAAGUCCGUUGUAAGAAAACAAAAGGUGGAUUUGUUUUGUAUUCAAGAGACAAAGAUGCAAGUAAUGUCUAAAAGGGUGGUGAGAAGCUUAGGCCCGGGGAGAUUUCUAGACUGGAGGGCCUUGAAUGCUAUGGGAUCGGCAGGGGGUGUCUUGAUAUGCUGGGAUAAAAGAUCGCUAGAGAUUUUGGAUUGGGAAGAGGGCCAAUUCUCCAUCUCCUGCAGAUUCAAGAAUAUGGGAGAUGGUGUGGUCUGGGUGUUUACGGGGGUCUAUGGCCCUUUCUCCAGAGAAGAAAGGGAGUGUCUGUGGGAGGAGAAUGGAGCAAUCAGAGAAUUGUGGGAGGAACGUUGGUGCUUAGGGGACAAUUUUAAUACGAUCCUUUACCAAUCUAAAAGGAGUAGAAAUGGGAGAAUCACCUCAGUUAUGAGGAGAUUUGCCCAAAUCAUAAAUGAUUUAGGGCUAGUUGAUAUCCCAUUACAAGGAGGAUCUUUUACCUGGAGUGGGGGGCUCAAUAAUCAGUCAUGGGCUAGGUUGGAUAGAUCCCUUGUGACCCCCAGUUGGUUUAACUAGUACAGUAGGGUCUCUCAAAGAAGACUACCUCACCCUACCUCAGAUCACUUUCUUGUUCUUCUUGAGGGGGGUGGGCUAAGAAAAUGUCCUUCCCCAUUCAGAUUUGAAAAUAUGUGGCUCAAAGUUGAGAGGUUCAAAGACCUAAUUGGGGGUUGGUGGCAAGGGAUUGUGGUUAGAGGCAGUCCUAGCUACAGAUUGGCUGUUAAGUUGAAGGAGUUGAAACAAAAUCUAAAAAUUUGGAACAGAGAGGUGCUCAGAAGUUUGGAGAGAAAUAAAGUUGAAGCUCUCCAACAAGUGGAGCUUUGGGAUUUAGUGGAAGGGGAGAGAAGCUUAACAGAGGAGGAAUUAAGCCGCAAAAAGAAAGCAAAGGAGGGUUAUGCUAAGUGGGUGUCGCUAGAAGAAACCCAUUGGAGGUAGUUAUCAAGGGAAUUAUGGCUAAGGGAAGGGGAUAGAAACACGGGGUAUUUUCACCGUAUGGCUAAUGACCAUAGAAGAGUUAAUUUCCUGAAUAAAAUAAAGAUAAAUGGGGUGAGGCUUUCAAAGGAACAAGAAGUGAGGGAAGGGAUUGCAAACGCCUAUCAGCAGUUGCUCUCUGAUAGUUUUGGUUGGAAGGCAGAUAUAGGGGGUCUGCUGCUAAAGCAGAUCAGUUAGUCAGAAGCAGAAGUCCUGGAGCUCCCGUUUUCUGAGCUUGAGAUUCAUGCAGCCUUAAUGAGGAUGAAUGGGGACAAAGCCCUAGGUCUGGACAGGUUCACGGUGGUUUUUUGGCAAAACUGCCGGGAGACUGUUAAGAAGGAAGUUUUGGAUAUGUUCAAGGAGUUCCAUGAGCAGAACUCCUUCAUUAAGAGCCUAAAUAAUACGUUUCUGGUUUUUUUACCGAAGAAAGGAGGGGCGGAGGACCCAGGCGACUAUAGGCCCAUCAGCUUGUUAGGGGGAUUGUACAAAUUGUUGGCUAAGGUGCUGGCCAACAGGCUUAAAAAAGUGAUAGGAAAGGUGGUGUCACCCAAUCAAAAUGCAUUUAUUAAGGGGAGACAGAUUCUUGACGCCUCCUUAAUCGCAAAUGAGGUAAUAGAUUCAUGGCAAAAAAUGGGAGAGAAAGACCUAAUUUGUAAAUUGGACAUAGAGAAGGCGUACAACAGCAUCAAUUGGCAAUUUUUUGUUGAAGGUUAUGCAAAAAAUGGGAUUUGGGCCAAAGUGGUUGGGAUGGAUGUGGAGUUGCAUAUCUAUUGCCAAAUUCUCAGUGUUGGUGAACGGUGUGCCAAUUGGAUUUUUCUCAAGUUCGAAAGGGUUGCAUCAAGGGGACCCUCUAUCCCCCUACUUGUUCGUCAUGGGAAUGGAAGUGCUAAGUGUGCUUAUCACGAGAGCUGUUGAAGGGGGUUUUAUCUCUGCGUGUAGCAUUUGGCGAGGUAGAGGGUAGGCUGUCAAUAUAUCUCAUUUACUUUUUGUGGAUGAUAUAGUAGUUUUUUGUGAGGCAAGGAAAGAGUAUUUAACGCAUUUGAGUUGGAUACUUUUUUGCUUUGAAGCGGCUUCAGGGUUAAAGAUUAAUUUGGACAAAAGUGAGGUUAUUCCAGUAGGGGAGGUGGAAGAGGUGAACAAGAUGGCUGUUGAAAUAGGGUGUAGGGUGGGACAGCUGUCUGUCGUCUACUUGGGGCUAACUUUAGGGACGCCUAAUAAAGCCACUUCCGUGUGGGAUGAGGUGAAGGAGAAGGUGAGAAGAAGACUUGCCCUUUAGAAACGCCAAUAUAUUUCCAAAAGUGGGAGAAUCACUCUUAUAAAGAGCACGUUGGCCAGCAUACCCUUGUAUCAAAUGUCUUUGUUCUGUAUGCCAAAAUCAGUGGCAAGGAGGCUUGAAAAGUUACAAAGAGACUUUUUGUGGGGAGGGGCCAAUGGGGAAAAAAAAGCACACUUAGUCAAGUGGGAGGUGGUGUGUGCGGAUAAAGAAAAGGGAGGGCUGGGAUUAAGGAAGCUUGCUUGUUUGAACAAAGCCUUGCUAGGCAAAUGGAUUUGGAGGUUUGCUCGUGUUAAGGAGGAUCUUUGGAAGAAGGUGCUUGAGGCAAAGUAUGGGCAAGAGGAAUUUGGAUGGAGGACAAGGAAGGCAAAUGGGGUGUUUGGAGUAGGGGUUUGGAAGGAGAUUUUGAAGAAAUCUGAUUGGUGUUGGGAAAAUAUGGUGUUCAAGGUGGGAAAAGGCAAUAAAAUCAUAUUUUGGACAGAUCCUUGGUGUGGGAAUAAUGUGUUAUCCCAAAGUUUCCCAAAUCUCUUUGCCAUGGCUGCCCAAAGGAAUGCCACGGUGGAGGAAAUGUGGGAUCAGAAUUUUGGCCAAGGCGGGUGGAAUUUAAGGUUUUUAAGGGCCUUAAUGACUGGGAGUUGGAUACGGUGGGCAACUUGCUGGUUGUGUUGAGGGAGCAUAGAGUUACGUUGGAGGAAGAUUCGGUGAUUUGGAAGGAAGGAAGAGACGGGCUGUUUAGAGUCAAGAGAGGGUACAGUUGGCAAGCCAUAUUGUCGCCGAGUUCCCGAAUAGCAAUAUAUGGGUGGAUAGAGUUCCAACCAAAAUUGCAUUUUUUGCAUGAGAAGCCGCUUGGAGGAAGGUUCUCACUCUUGAUAGGCUUCAAAGAAGAGGGUGGCAGUUCCCUAACUACUGUUUUUUGUGUGGUUGUGAAGAGGAAACGAUAAAUCAUAUUUUAAUUCAUUGUACAGUUGUCAGAGUUUUGUGGGAUAUCAUUCUUGGGUUGUUUGGUGUUCAGUGAGCCUUUCCAGAAUCUGUAAAGGAGGUUUUAUUUAGCUGGAAGGGCUCUUUUGUGGGAAAAAAGAGGAAAAAACUGUGGAAGUCCAUCCUGCUGUACAUUUUUUGGACAAUUUGGAAGGAAAGGAAUAGAUUAGCUUUUUAGGGGAGGGUGUUAGCAGUUCAGAAGUUAAAAACUUCGUUUGUGUGUAAUGUUUGGGGUUGGGCUAAAUUGUACAUUGGUGUGGAGUCGAUCUCCCUUAUAGGCUUCUUGGAGUGGUUAACCUCCACUUAGGGGUUGGGGUGUUUUGUUCUUUUUUGGUUGGGAGGCCUUAGUCGCCUCAUAUACUCCCUGUAUGUUUUGCGGCUAUUUUGCCUCUUGAUAAUAUAUUCUGUGCUUACUUAUAAAAAAAAAAUAAAGGAAAAAGUUAUAAGAUGAAAAUGUGCAUGUAAAGACCAUAGGAAUGUGAAGAAUAGAUAGGAGACACCUUGUAAAGCAAGAAGACAAAUGAUGUUUUGGGACUCAAGUUCAAGGUGUAGAUAGUAGGAAUAAGAAAAUAUGUGUGUGUUUUGAAAUUGAGUUUUGUAUUUUUUUUUUCUUUCCUAUUUAACAUUCUCUAUAGUAGAGUGGAUUUUAUCUCUCAUCUAUUGAUGUAAUCAUAGUUAGCCAAACCACAUUAAAGCCAUGUGUUUGUAAUGUGUGUGGAUUAUUUUAUCUUUAUGUUGUUGCACUAAUAUGAGGCAUUAAAGCUUCCACUAACACAAUUAGAGCUAUGGUGAAGAUUUCUAGAAUAGCUAAGGGGAAGAUCUAAGACUUGGGAUUUAGCUUUGCUAAUUUGAACAUAAAGAUGGUACAAUAAUAUCCAAAAUUCACAAUAGAAUGAAAAAUAAAGUCGGAAUUUGUUGUUUUCUUAUUGGCACGUGAUAAAUGGAGCAUAUACUCAUUGAAUUUAGAGUAAGUGUAGCCUUUUAUAUUCUUAUUUGAUUAUACAAGGUGGAAACAAUGAAUGUCUGAAGUGUUUGGAUCCAUGGAUAUCUAGUAAAAGGCAAACAAGGAGUGUUUAUGGCACAUAAGGGAUUUGUGACAUGGACUAAGAAUUCAGAAGAUUAAGUUCCAUGGACCUACAACUGGAGAUGAAGUAAUCUUGUUUGUUAUUUCUUUUCUCAAAAGUUAAGUUUGUAAUUCAUGUGGUUCAAACAAGUUUCUAAAUGGAGUGCAUUGAUUAAUUACUCAAUGACAACAUAUUGAAUGAGUCAAAGUAUGCUGCUCACUUUACAUUGAGCAUUUUGCAUAUCAAUGUAAUUAAGGCUUUGGGCUUUCGAAAUAGGAUCAAAGAAGUGCUUCAAAUCAUUGUGAAGAAUUUCUGAAUUCCUUUAUUGAUUUUUUAGGUACACACCAUACACAUAUAUAUACACAAAUGACUGAAUAAGAAAAUAUCAAUCUAGCUUGAUUCUCUUCUAAAAUUAGGAAACUGAAUCAUCCUAAAUGAUCUCUCCUUUUUUAUUCCUAAAAUACUUUCCUAAAUUAAAACCCUAACUUUGAAUGCCAAAUUUCAACACAUUGCUAUUUGACCUAGACCUGUUCUAAAAAGGUAAAGGCAUUUCAAAUUUUUAUUGACAUGGAACGAGUCAAGGGAAAAGACAUGUAUAGAAGAGACAAAUGUAGCCAUGUAUUAUGAAAAGAUGGAAAUUUUCUCAAAUUCCUAUUCUGUUGAGAAUUCCUUUUAGUGGAGGAUAUUGUAUAGAAUAUUUCUUAUUUUGAUAUUUCCUUAUGGAAAUAAGUGUGUUUAUUGGAUAAAGAAAACAAAUAUCUUUAUAAACAUUUUAAAUCAUUGAGGGAAAAAGUUAUGAGAUGGAAACUUGUAUAUAAAGAUUCUAUACUAGUAGGUAAAUAUGUAAAGAAGUGAUAAAAGAUACCCAAUGGAGUGGGAAAACAUGAGAUGUUUUGGGGCUUAAAUUUAGAGUAUAGAUGCUAGGAGUAGAAAACAUUAAAUUGUUUUGUGACUAAGGGUUUGUAUCUAUCCUCCCUUUCCUCUAUAAAGUUCUUUAUGACAAAGUGGAUUUAUUAUCUUUCAUCUAUAGAUAUAGGAAUGGUUAGCCAAACCAUUCUAAGACCUUGUGCCUCUAUUUGUGGAUAGUUUUGUUUUUAUGUCAUUGCAUCAAUUUGUUAAAGCUUUUGUUGACACAAGGAAUAAAAAAAGAGAAGGGACAAUUAUUACAAAGAAGGAUAAGCUGUUUUUUCAAGCCAGACAAGGAAAAGGACAAAAAAUAAAACAACUUCCUAAGUGAAAAUAAGACGCCCUAAAACCUACAGAAUCACCAAUAGAUGAUGAUAUACUUUAGGGGGAGGAGUCCCCUGCAAGUUCCUUUGAGGUGGCUCUUUUCUUAGCCUAGCAAUCCACUGCAUUUUUAUACCUAGGCUAUGAAUCAAAGAAGCACCCUGGACCUCUUGAAGGUUUGUAAUCUUGCAAAUCCAAGAAUCAAAAUUCUAAGGUCCUUUCCUAUCCUAAGACACCCAAGAUAGAAUGAUAGAUGAAUCCCACUCUACCUGAAGGUAUCUAACACCCAAGAAGGACACUUUGAUUAAAAUUUAAACCUACCAGUGAAGCAAGGAUAUCCAUAUCAAUGACCAAACCAAAACUAGCUGGAUUGGAGAAAGCUUUGACAUACUGUCCCAAUGAUCUCUAAAUGAGAUACAAAUCCUCAUCUGCCUUAGGUUACCUAGAGAGCAGCCUUCAAACUUGAGGGGGUGUCCAUAUGGUUGUGAACUGGACAUUGCUUGUGAUCUGACAUAAUCAUAGAACACCAAGGAAUUCUUUAGUAAUUCACACCCAAAGAGUUGUGAGGUGGCAGACUGUAAAUCUAAAAAUUGAUCCUAAGUAAACACAACUGGUAAUCACAUAGUUAAAUACAUAUUUAAUUGCUUCACUAGAGUUUAAAAUGUUUUGGUUUAGUCUUUGUGCAAACUUUAUGUAUGAUCAGUUGCUUUUGUGUGCAGGACAAUUUAAAAUUAAUGGAUGAUUUAGCUGCUUUGAGACCAACAAUAUUUUGUAGUGUUCCUCGAUUAUACAACAGGAUAUAUUCUGGGUGAGAUCAUGGCUGAUUACUGCUUAAAUUAUUUACUUGGUUGCAUUUUGCAUGGUCAUUCAUCUGUAUCUAAUUCUGUUGAAUGUCAUAGGAUCAUGAAUGCUGUACAAACUUCUGGGGUUCUAAGGAAGACGCUAUUUAAUGCUGCCUAUAAUUCCAAAAAGCAAGUCAUAAUAAGUGGUAUGUGCAUUGAUAUCUGAAGCCAUUUCAUAUUAUAGCAUAAAGCUGCUUAUUUUCUCCUUUGUCUUUUAUUUUAUUUUAUCAUUUUUUUGGUGAAAAGGUGACAAUGGGCUAAAAAGAAAGAGGGAGCCCUCCUUCAUAACUAUAAAAUCUCAACAUGAUGAAGGCAAGAUUCAAAUCUCAGUGAUGUAGGAUAAGAGGACUUCUCUGUUGAUCUUAACUUCAUUUCUUUCCACACAGUAAUAGGCUCUUGAUCUAAAUGGUUGAUGUCAUGUAAGACUGAUUGUCAAUAAUGCUUAGCAGACCGUACCAAUUUCAUCUUAGCAGAACCAACAUGUUGAGUGUUGGUCAUGCCGUGCAAUCAAAAUUGUCUUCAAGAUUGCUGACAAACUAAGAAACACAUCAGGAUCUAACCUACCAUCAAACUCUAGCGCCUCUACCUUGACCUCCUUGGUGAUAUCACCUACCUAAUUGUGGAUAUAAUCUAGAUUGGUCAUAAUGGUAUUGUGGAGGUAAAGUCAAAAUUGUUGACAAUGGUAUCUAACUUGAGGUUCCCAGUGCCUAAGGGUAUUCCUAGGACCUUAAUUGACAAAUUAUGACCAAGACUCUCUCCCAUCUUCAUUAAUAGGUAUUGGGGCACCAAAAGCUUCAUCCUCAUAAACAUCAUCAUAUCAUCCUCGUCUAGGGCUCUAAACUAGAUUUUUGUUUGUGGGUGGCUUUUCUUGUGGUUAGCAAACCUGCUUGGGAAUCCCUAAAUCUUCUUUGAUUUGGGGAUUGAUUAGAGUUUUGUCUCAUUGUAGACUCAUUUAUUGUUUUCUCCUCAUAACGCUUUCCAGGAUCUUUUAACAAAUGACUUAGGCCACAACAAGUUUGGUCAAAAUAUCUUCAUCUCUUCUAUAUUGACUUGUAAGGUUGUCACAAUAGUUGUGAGAUUUUGAACAUCCCCCUGAAUGGUCAAAUGGGAUUGUUCUAAUUCAGUGACCUUCAUGUUUGCUGAAAACAAAGGUGAGGAAAAAAAUGAGAACAAAGAAAAAUAAAGUAAUAUUGAAAUAUAUGUGAAUUAAAUUAAUAAUAAAUUAUGUCUAGACUGGAUGCACACAAUUGGAAUUAAACUCAAAUAGAGGACUAUGCAAUGACUCUCAAAAGGACACAAGAUACAAAAUAGGUAUGAAAUAACUAAGGGUAAAUAUUUUUUUUUUUUCUUUUAAGUAAGGUAAUAGGUAAAAAGAAGUAAGAAAAUAAAGGUAAGAAUCCUAACACGUUAUUUGUUAGACCAAAGAACUAAACUAAAAGCACAAGUUUCUAAGUAGUAGGAAAAUUACCCCAUGAGACUUAAUGGAGUAAUUGAACCCUUAGAUUGGUGCGAAGAUUCAAACAGCUAAAACAUAUCCAAAAUCAACCUUGGUUAUAGGUUAUUUAAUACUUGUAGUUUAGUUGUGAAAAUUCCCUGGUGCAAAACAUGUACAAACUAGACCUGAGCAAUUGUUUAUUGCCUAUGGUUUAAUGCCAAGAAUUCCAAAUUGUUGCAGUAUAGUUGUGAGUAUAACCAUCACAAAAGGCAUCCAAAAUCAACCUUGCCUUGAUACCAAUUGAUGUAAGACAGUAGAGAAGAAUUUUGAGCAGAGAAAUAGAAGUAGAAGAGAGAAAUUCCAAAUAAUUAUGAAUAUUAUAAAUCAAAAGUUUAAAAUGUUUAAGAUCACUGAGCCUAUAUAUAGAGAGACAAUCUUAACUCUAGGAGGAAACUAAUUUUAACAAUAACAUAAGAAAUUCUGACAACAAUAAAAUGUUAUCAAUAAAUAUUAUUAACCCUAAAGUAGAUAACAAAAUAAAACAUUAUGACUUCUUAUAUUUACACUUACAUAAAUGCAUAAGUGAACAUCUUUAUCUUCAUCACCCAGGUUUCUGGUACGAUCCCCUAGACUUUAUAUCAACAGCCUAGUUGUGUCCUCUUUUUUGCUAUGAUCAUAAUAUCCAAAAACACUGUAGGGUAUAUAAUUUAAGUGAAGGAUAUUGUAACCCCUGGACUCUUCCAAUCCCUCCGAGGAUUGCACCAUUAGUGUUGAUUUGUUAUGUUUUUCAUCAAGAAAUUCCUCCAAGAACUCAUAUUUAGGUCCCCAGUGUAGUGUUCUCAAGUGGCAAAACCAAGGUCAAGUAACCUGGCACCUACAAAGUCUUGGAUGGGAAAUCCGGAUAAUUCCCUCUAGAAGAGGUAAGGAUUCUUAAUUUCAGUAGUGGGCAGUGGCAGUAGGUAUGACCUACUAUGUGCAGUUUCUUUCUCCCAGACAGCUGUGAUGAAUUUAGGGUUCAAACAGAGUGCAUUGGGAAAUAAAGUUUUAAAUAGCUCUAGAACAUGGGUGGAAAGUAUUGGGUUUAUUUCUUAAUUUGUUGCUGUAAUUGCAAACUAAAUUCACAAAUAGAGAGAUGUAUAUAAUAUUUUUGUUUGGGAUAUUUGGGUCUUAUGGUCUCUAUAUUGGUGGCUUACAAAGUGUCGAUGAUAUUAAAUUUAUUAGAGGGAAUAUUUAUGGUGCUUGUCCCAAUUUUUUGAGAUCAACAAUAUGAUCCCUGUCCAGAAUUGUCAAUUUAUCAAAAUAAAUCUCUUUGAUUGGAGUAUGAGGUCUUAAAUUUUGAAAUAUCACAAUUUAAAGAUUGAAAGGGGAAUGCUCAUAAUAGGAGGGGAGUGGCAGCUUUAAGGCAAAAGGCAUUAUAUCUUCAUUGGAUGGGACUUUUGGCUGAAUUCAACACAAACUGGAUUCGGAAAAUUCAUACCAUCAAUUGAAUUUUAAGAAAGGAAUGCUUCAAGCUAAUUUGGAUACAUGGUGCCUUAUGCUUACGAUUUGUAUUUUUCCCCUUUCUACUCUCCUUGAAAUAUUCUGGAGGCCAGAGAUAUUCUUGUUAAUCUCUGUUAGUUGCUAUAUGUAAAGUCUGAGCAAAUCUUCCAACCAAUGUGCUGAUAUCUAUACAAAUAAUCAGAAUGUCCACACCAUAUAUAGAUAUACCAUGUGAUAAGCAUUUCUAAGCUGUCAUGCAUGUGUAGCAUGUGGUAUUGCUGCUUUUGCUACUAAUAUGUUACACCACUGUCUUAGGCCGAAACCCAUCACCCAUGUGGGACAGAUUGGUAUUCAGCAAAAUAAAGGGAAUGCUUGGAGGAAGAGUCCAUUUUAUGGGUUCAGGUGCUUCACCUUUGUCUCCUGAUGUCAUGGACUUUCUGAGAGUGUAAGUUGAUUAUUCUUCUGAGGAUAAUGCAUUAUUGCAUGGUUGCUUGUUUAAAAGUUGUGAUAAAUCCAUUAUUCCACAGUUACCUGUUUAAAAGUUAUUGUUAUUGUUUCUUGUUUUCUAGAAGGAAAAACAAAAUAUCAGUAGUGACUAAUUAUGUUUUAUUGUUCCAUAAUGAAUGUACCCAUACAGAUGCUUUGGUUGCCAAGUAAUUGAAGGCUAUGGAAUGACCGAGACCUCUUGUCUCAUAAGCUGUAUGGAUAAGGGUGACAACUUAUCUGGUCAUGUUGGAUCUCCUAAUCCUGCUUGUGGUGAGCUGUCAACCUAUGUCUUAAGAAUAUAAAAAAAGGAACAAAAUAUAGUGCAUAGUCCAUGAGAAACAACAUGAUGUUCCUUGAGGGGCAUAUGGAUACUGCAUAUAUGCAUAUGAAAUGGUCCAUUUUCUAUUUUUCAUGGCAUCUAUGUUAAUUUGUUAUUCAAGUGGAAUAAUCACCAUUAUUCUAACAAGAACAAUGGGAUUAUGAUUUCAUAGAAACCUAAAUAAACUUACUGUUAAAUGAGGUUGACGAAAAAGCAGACUGUGGUUGGAGAAAAAGCAAAGAGACUCAAUUGCAAACCAACGGAUUCAAUAGGUUUACUUCAAAUGCUAUAGGGGAAAAAAUGUAAAGAUUGCAAUUUCAAACAGCAUCCAAACCCCCACUUUAAAUUGGGAUGUAAUUUGAAUCUAAUUGCCGGAUGUCUUUAAGAAAAUGGUAUUCACAACUAAUGAACUAAUUCACUGAGUUGUGUGGAUUCUGGUUGCUCCCUGCCCUUUUCCUCUUUCAGAAAUAAAGCUUGUGGAUGUUCCUGAAAUGAAUUACACCUCUGAGGAUCAGCCCUAUCCUCGCGGUGAAAUAUGUGUCAGGGGUCCCGUUCUCUUCCAAGGCUACUACAAAGAUGAAGUCCAGACGUACUCAACUUUCUUAUAUUUCUAUUUCUUGUAUUGCUUAUCAAAUACACAUAUUUCUUGCAAUUGUCACUCAUGUGUAAAUAAUGGAUCUACCUGACUCCAGUUACUUUGACAGGAAGGAAGUAAUUGAUGGAGAUGGUUGGCUGCAUACAGGAGACAUUGGGUUAUGGUUGCCUGGAGGUCGCCUUAAGAUUAUUGAUAGGUGAGAUUUUACAAUCUAUCACAUUUAAAGGACUUGAUACCAAUACUGCUUGUUUUAGAUGAGAAAUUUAACUACAUAGUUUCUAGUUCUUACCUAUCUAAAUUAUGUUUUCCCUCAGAGCAACUUCAACAUGAAAGACUCAGAGUUUUCUAAACCUAUUUCUGGGUAUGGUUUGGUUUGUGAAACAUAAAACACUGAUCAAAUUAAUGACACUGAUAUUUUUUUUGAGUUGGUAAUAGUGUGUAAAGUAUCAUAUUAAUGUAUUACUGUUGAAGUAUUAUUGUGGUGCAAUCAAAUAACCACACAAUUGCUUACAAAAGAAACUUUGUGAAGAGCAGGAACAUGCCAACUUUAAGUUAUGAAAUUUUAGUCUCUUAGCGAAAAUUGAUGGCCAACUUAUGACAGGAAAAAGAACAUCUUCAAGCUGGCACAGGGUGAAUAUAUAGCACCAGAGAAAAUUGAGAAUGUAUAUGCCAAGUGCAAAUUUGUUUCCCAAUGUUUUAUCUAUGGUAAGGCAGAUGGAGUUUACUUGCAGAUUGGGCCCUCCCCAGCUAAGUUCUCUUUGCUGACUGCUUAAUUGAUUUUAGGUGAUAGCUUGAACUCCUGUUUAGUAGCCAUAGUCUCAGUUGACCCAGAUGUGUUGAAAGAUUGGGCCACAUCUGAAGCCAUCAAGGUGAUUUCUUUCUUAUACUACACCCUUUUGAAAAUGCUUGCACUUUGAGAUUGAUCUCUUGCUCCAGGAAUUCUUCUUGAUAUUGUUUGAGCCUUGAUGUUGCACCAAAGUUGUAGGUGGCUGCUUUCUCUAUUAACAAAAUGAUGCACUGAAAUGUGGUUGUCAUUUUAUUGCUUACUGGGGUCUCCUCUGUACCACACAUAUUUCUCUCACUUGGAUUUUCCUGCAUUUUCAAAUACCCUUGUUCUUGUCGGCCCAAAACCUGUAGUUGGUUUGUGGCAAUAUUGAAAGGAAUUUUCAUUGUUUAAAGCACCCAUCAACUGACAACUCAUUCUUAUGGGGGAAGAAACAUUGGAUUACAAAUCCUACAAUGUCCAAGGUGUUUCAUUCUCUGUAUUAUGUGUCAUGGAGAAACUGAAUGCAGUUUUGUCUGUGUGAGAUGACAGACAAUAAAUUUUUUUUACUUCUUUGUGUCCUUGUGUUUGGGAAAGAUUUUCUAAUGUUUUGUGAUUGUUUUGAAAUGCAUUUCUGCAGUAUGAAAAUCUAGGCCAUCUAUGCAAUGAUCCAAGAGCAAGGGCAGCUGUUCUCACAGAAAUGGAUGCAAUAGGAAGGGAAGCUUAGGUAAUAUGUUGAAAUGUUUCCACUCUCUAGCCCUUCUACUCAGUCAGGAUAUUUAAUUUGCCCUAGCCCUUCUACCAUUGCCAUGCAGUUGAGAGGUUUUGAAUUUGCAAAAUCUGUAACUUUGGUGGUUGAACCAUUCACCAUGGAGAAUGACCUCCUGACCCCAACAUUCAAGGCAAGCUUCAUCAUUCUUCAAAUGGUUUUUUCCUUUCUUCCAUUUUCUUGGCAGUGAAAUAGAGUAUCAGGUGAAAAUAAAAAGUGUUUUGAGCUUUGCCUACAUAUUUUUCCAGAUCAAGAGGCCCCAGGCAAAGGCUUACUUCUCUGCUGCAAUAUCAAACAUGUAUGCAGAAAUUUCUACAUCCGACACAAAUCCACAGAAAAUGUUAUGAUGAUCUUGAUUCAGGAAGGGGGAAAGAAAGCCGAGCACAUGCAAGGUAACCUCUAAUGGUGAUUCCACUUCCUUACGGUAAGGCUCCAUUUGUUUGAUCAGAAGAGCAACUUUUAAUAGCUUUUGACAUUGUAGAAUGUCGAUCUUCAUCCAACUUUCCAUUGAAUAGUUAGAAGGCUGAAAAUAUCAGAUUGAAACUGGUUACCCUUUUUAUGCCAAAUCCUUCACCAAAGAGAUUUCAUUAAUAAAAAGUACGGAAACUGAGUUGGGUCUUACCGAAAUGAAAUGAAAAGAACACCUGAGACAUAAUUAGAAUCACACAUGCUUUCAAUUUUUCAGCACAAGGAUCAAAUACAACAAUCUCUACCAAAUUUGUUUUCUAAGCCUAAAACUUCGUAAUGACUCGUACUCUUCUUUAUGUGGAGCAUUAACUCAACAGUUCUGACCCAGUGCAGGGAUUUCUAGGUAGGCAAGAACUGAAGGGGGCCGACUCUAGCUACCCAGAAGAACCCAUUUCAAUAAGACCAGCUCCACAAACAGAAGAUGAAGUUGAAUCUGUCUCUCUCCUCCACCAUCCAACAUAUUUGACAAGUCUGUAAAAAGAAUUCCUACUAGUGGAGAAUGGAAAAGCUAGAAGAAGGAUUUCUCCAGUUUCCAAAACAAAUAAUUAUGAAUAUUGGAAUAAUUUUAACCUACCCCCCAUGGUUUCUCAUACAAUUUUCAUAUCACAUAAUUCCUGCAAUGGAGUGUUCUGCAGAGACUUGAUUGCCAUAGCCUAGUGUUCAUUCAAUGGCUCUUCAUGAUCCAUACCAGCAGUUUGAUAUGACGGAAACAAAACAACAAGCUUUUCUAUUCAAUGUGGUUGCAUGGCACCUUCAUGAAUCAUAAGCUUAAAAAACUUAAAUUUUCAUAUUUAACUUCAUGAAUCAACUUUAUAAAUAAUAUUAUCUCAUCCAUUAUAAUACAUUAAGCUGUCUAUUGACUUACCCCAAAGAAGAUAACAGUGCAGAAUUAUAACACAUCAAUCUCGAGCAGUAAUUGUUACCAAAAAGAUUCAAUAACUUCAAAUGGGGGCGUGAAAAGAAUAUGAACAAUAUUCGUACUUCUACGAACCAAAAAAAUAGUGGGGCUUCAAAAUUACAACUUUGACCAGAUGCUAUGACUGGUGACAUACCACAGCCGUACAAGAAGAGUCAGUAUCUAUGAUCCACAGACCCAAUUCUUCAAGCCGUUUCUGAAUCAUAUCUGAGCCUAUUUCUGGGGACCAGAAAACCAUCUUUUUUCUAUUCCCCUGAGAGGUCUGAUUAGCAUUUCUGGAAUCAAUCUCUAAACCCAGGCUUCCCUCAUCGACCCAUUUAACCCUCAUGCCCUCCUGUUUGAACAACUCUCCCACUAUAUACACAAAUUUUUUACCUUCUGUUGUUGGUAUUCGACCUCUUCCCUUUUCCAGCACAGAAUCCACCAUUAGUGCCACUUUGUGAAUAAAAUCAUCGACCCAGAUCUUCCGGGCAGAAGAUGAGCUCCGGAUAAAUAAAAUUUCCGGGGUCUUCCCAGCAUGGAAGUCAUAGGUAGCAUCAAUGACAUCAAGAAAUGGGGUACUUCUGAGAAAAAGCAUGUUCCCAUCAACCACCCAAGAAUUGUACCCAGACUCCAGACACUUCUGGAUUACGUAGGCCUUUACUAAGAUAUACUUCUUGACCUCCAUAUCAGAAUCUUGGAGACUCUUCAUUUUAUGAGCUCUGACACUGCUGAGAAAUUGGUCCACAUCAAUCACAGGAUGACCCCUUCUAGCAAGAUCAAGAAGGAAGUCCGAAUUCAGGCCCAUAAAAAUGUAGUUCUGAAUAUUGAAACUCUCAAAGUGGCACAGCAAAUUCCUUAUGACUCUUUCAGAUGCUCCAAACAGGCUCACAAGUAUAAUGGUAUCCUGUUUUUGCACAGAGUGAAGAACAGAUCCGAGUUCUUCAAAACUCCUUACAACUGUUCCAGGAUGUACUUCUUUGAAACAGAAAUCAUACCACUUUAGCUUAGUCAGAGGUUGCAUCUCCAGAAGAUCAAUAUCAAGUGAACUUUCAUCGAGUAAAUAUGAAUCUGGACCAGCUGUUUUCCCAUAGUUGACACCAGCAUCUCUAUGAGAGACACUGAGUGCUCUUUCAUGUAGAAAGUUUGUGUAAAUGUUAAAAUAGCCACGAGAAUGAAUAAAACUAAUAAACCAAGGAGUCCAAAUUCUCUCACCCAUCUUCUUGUACCAUCCUGUUGUUACCUGUAUAUAAAUUUCAGUUCUUAUCAGAAAAUUGUGAUUCAAAUUGAUAAAUAUGCUUGGAUUUUUUUAUCUUCACUUCAAGAAAAAAUAAAAAUUAACUAAAUAAGAAUACAAUGAGAAAGACAAAAAAUUACCAUCCCCUGCAGAAAUGGCUUGAUGCCCUUGGCCUUGUGUAUAUCAUACCAUAAACGGAACUCUUUCCAAGGUUUUGGAAAGAGAAGCUGACCCCAAGUGCCAACCAGCUGGUACAAGAAAAUAUGUGUUUCAUCAUCCAAUUGAAUUUUGUUUCCGUGCUUACCUGUAGUCAGAAACCAUUUUAAUCAAUUACAGGCAACAGGAAAAAGAAAAAAAAAAAAAAAAAAAGCUUUAAUAGCAAAAAUCAGACAUACAAAGUGUAAGGCUGGUAGGAAAAAUGAUUUCCUGCGAAUAGAGUAGGAAAGGGAAGCAUACAAAGAUAAGAAUUUGUUUCAUCAAAAAAUGAAAUCCAGCUGGCACAUUUUUACAUGAAAUAGAAACGGGGAAAAGAAAGACAAUCAAUGAGGCCAAGGAUCAAAUGAACAAUGAAAGCAUACCGUACAGAGCAUUGCUACCAGCAAGAGCUGAUCCAACUAUGCCUUGAUAUAAUCAUAACAGCAAUGGUAUAUUUGAUAUAAUUGCAUUCCCUCCUCAACAAGAAUUUGACACAAUCAUAUAGUAAGAUGGAGAAACUCUAUGGUUUUAAAAAGAAAAAAAAAAAAAGAAUUAUCUACUGGACUCAUAAUAUCAUAAAUGUUUCCAAUGAUUCUGGCCAACAUGCAUGUACAUGAAUACCCUGCCCUGCACUUCAAUGGUUUGGGAAAAUCAAGAAUGCAAUUGAUGUUUACUCCUUCCUACUCUGGGACCUCCCUUUCCAGGAACAAGUUCUGUUUGGCCAAGAAACAAUAUUUUGAUUUGUUUGAAAUACUUUUUAUUAUAUAAAAUUAUUAGUUGGAUUUUCCAUUCGAUACAGCCUCACAUUAGUCAUCACAUAAUUGACAGAUAACAAGACUGUUCUUGCAGCACAGACCUAGUCAAUCCAAAGGUUGUAACCUCAAACUGGGCUUCCAGGGCGGUUUUUGCUAUUGUUUCUUUCCUUUUUUUCUUUUUUAAUAAAUAGGCAAACAGGAGAUAUAUUAAGCAGCACCUAACAAAAAAGGGUGCAUCCUAUGUACACAGGUGGUGUACAUUAGGCACCAAAAUAAGAAAGAAAAAGCAAAAAUUUUCUAUUAGGCUUCCUGGGUUCUGCUCUGUUCAGGAGAUUGUUUUGAAGAAUUAAGGCCAACUGGCCCUUCUUAUGUGGAACCUCUGCACAAUUCUGUGUUCCAAGAGGCCUGCGAGAUUACAUCAUAGCCUUCUUCUUCCUGUUCUUCUUCCACUUUUUUUAUUUUGAUAACCGAGGAUCCUUCCAUGGCCAAGCCCUUAGGACUUUCUAUGGGGACCCAAACCUCGGGGUGCUAACCUCCCCGCAACAACCAGCACAAAAUAAAUUCAGGAUAUCAUCAAUGGCAGGAUUCAACCUAAAGACUAUAUGUCACUUACUAGAACCACACUAUCCAGUGUUCACCCAAACCAAUUGAGCUAACUUGGUGGGUCUGUUCUUCUACCGCUUACUUUAGAGAUCAUUGAGUUUCCCUCCACUAUCCUAGCUCAGUUAAGCAAUAGUGAGCUUCCCUCUACUUUCCUAGCUCAUAUUGAGAUUGUGAGCUUCUCUCUGUAUUUUCUUUAACCACCAUUGUAGCUCAAAUUAGAGAUCAUGAGCUCUUCUAGAAGCAACUAUUUGUGGUUCAGGAUGCAUGGAAAACUAAAUUGCUCCUCUCUCACCUCCUCAGCAUCCUUACUUCCAUCUGAUUUUUCCUCCCUUCACCAUAAUUAACAGAGUUUCUUUUAUAAUUUCACGUUAUUGACUACCCCUACCACAUGAAUUUUUCCCAGACCAAAAGGCUGUUACUAAAGACUAUUGACAUAAGAGCCCUAACCCAGAGACUGCUUGAUCUAUGAAAUUCCUUUCCCCCAUUUACAGCUGAAAACGUUCACUAUUCCAGAUCAAAAUGUUGAUUUCCUUUCCUUUUCUUUAAUCUUAAAAUUAUCUAGGAUCUAACAAGCUACACAGCAAAUCAUCAAUGAAUUCAAUUCCACCCAAUGAAGAACAAAACUCACAAACAAAUGCUUGAAUUUCCAGGCAUCCAAAAAAAAUUGAAAUAUUCCGUUCGUUUUUCCUCAAUUUUCUACAUAAAAUGGUACCUGGAACAAACCUUGGUCGUUGCAGCGAAGCCCCAUAAAUCGAAGGACUGAAAUUGGAGGAAUUGUAGUAAUAAUUCUGAAUCAAAGCCUUCAAAAACUUGUAAUAAAGAGGCGAGACCUCCAAAUCAUCCUCCACAACGAAGGCAAACUCGUGAUCGGAGCUGGGCCACCACGCCUCCAACCAUUGCGCCUGCAACCCCACAUUCCCAGUCCGGUAAUGCACCACCUUCUGCCCAAAUUUCCAAUCGAACCCGUCAAUGAACUCCAGAAUCCGGCGCGAUUCGUCCAACUUCUGAUCCAACAACAGCUCAGACUUGCCGACAUUGUCCGCGUGAGGAAAAUGGUCAACAUAGAUGUGGAGGUGGACGGUGUCGCGGCCGUAGUGGGCGGCGGCAAGAGAGCGGAGGCAACGGGAAAGGGAGGAGAGGCGGUCGAAGGUGAGAACUUUGAGAAUGAAAGAGAAAUUAGAGGGACUGGGAAUUGAGUUUAGCGAUGGAUUGAGAUUUGAGGGAAGAUUGAGGUGAGGAUUAGGGUUUAAGGAGUGGGAAGAGAGGUAGAGGUGGAGAGAGGAGUGGUAAUGAGAGUAGAGGAAGAAAGCUGAGAGAGAAAGGAGGAGAAGGAGAGGAAGAAACUGUCUCUUGGGUGCCAUUUUGUUUCUUCAGAUUUCAGAAUUAGGGUUAGGGAUUGAUACAGACGGCGCAGAGAAUGGAUCACAGUGACACAGUCACUUCUCUGCUUUGUGCUCCUCACUCUUCUCCACUCUGAGUUGUAGGCAUUACCAGGAAGGAGGCUUUAGGAUUAUUUCUUUAGACUCCCUUUGGCAGGCAUUUUAGCAAUCUCUUCAACCUAAAAAAUGCUUUUAAAAAAUUAUGGGGGCUAUUUGCUAAAAUUUUAAAAACACUUUUUAAAUUUUUAAAAUUCAAUUAUAAUAUUUGAAAUUAAUCGCAAUAUUUUCUUUGGAGAAAUACUCUAUUAAUAAUUUUUUUAAAAAUAUUUUAUGAAAAUAUACUUUUACUCCAAACACUUCAAAUGGAAGUACUUCCAAACACACUUAUUUCUUUUUAAAACCUACGAACAAAUGUAAAACACUUAAAAUGGUUAAAGAUAUUUAUGUUAAGAUACGACUUCUCUUUGAGUAAAAACAUAAAAAAAUAUUAAAUUUAAUAAAUUUAAAAAUAAUUUCAUCCCUUUAAUUAAAAAUAAUUUCAUCCCCUUUAAUCAAUCAAUUAAUUCUAAUUCUUUUCCAUAUUAUAUACUGCAACCAUGUUCUAUUAUCAUUCUCAAAAUGAUCCUCUAAGACCCCAUUUGGAUGUGACUUCCAAGAAAUUAAAAAGUUACUUUUCUAAGUUCAAUAAGAACUUUCAUGCCAAACAAAACCUAUGGCUUAAAAAAUAUAGUUUAAUUUGAAAACCACAAUAACAUUACUUCUUGUAAAAACCCAUUUUGACUUGUAUAAAAUAGUGACUUUGACUUGUGUCUCAGCUUCCAAUUAAAACCAAAAACAUGAAACCAUCCCAAACAAGGCCUUAACUCCAACAUUCAAGAGAAGCUUCAUCUUUCUUCAAAAGCAUUAACUCAACAGCUCUGACCCUUCCUUUCAGGGGAAGUAUUCCCAGUCCUGGGAUUUCUAGGUGGGUAAAGUACCCAGAAGAACCCAUUUCAAGAACCCAUAAACACAAGAUGAAGUUAAACCCACCUCUCUCUCUCUCUCUCUCUCUCUCCACCACAUCUAACAUAUUUUGCAAGACUGUUAAAAAAAAACCCUACUAGUGGAUAAUGAAAAAGCUAGAAGAAGGAUUCCUCUAGUUUCCAAUACAAGUAAUUAUUAAUAUUGGAAUAAUUUUACCUACCCCCACCGUGGUUUUUCAUACAAAUUUCAGAUCAGAUAAUUCCUGCAAUGCAAUGGUCUGUACAGACUUGAUUGCCAUAGCCUAUUAUUGUUCAUUCCUUCCUUCAACAUUAUCUAUACCAACAAUGGCAGAAACCCACCAUGAGUUUGCAGAAGUUCAAGAAAGGGAUGAAGACCAGAUUCGAUUACUGUUUGGCAAGUGGCCGUGUGUUAUCCCAAAGCCAUUGACGUGCAGAACCAUCCAGUAACGGCGAUACCUAUGACACAAAUAAGGGAUUUUGCACUGUGAGGAAGAGAUCAUAUUUUCUGAAGACCCAUAGAAAACCCAUCUAUAAAAGUUUAUGUAGUGUUUUGAGAAUUCCUUUCUGAUAAAAUCAGAGGAGGUAAUAAUACCCUACAGCAUGAAUACUGGCUGAAAACUUGAUGGCCACUUACCUUCUCCCAGACUUCUGAAUGGUAAUCGUUGAGCCAAUCAAUCUCGGCAGUGGAGAGUAGAGAUAACUCAACCAAUUCAUUCUGCAUGACAGAACCAUAAAAUGUUAUUCGGAUUCAUAGAGCAUAAGCACCCAAUAUGUUUGAGAAAUGAUCUUAAAAUGAACUGGGAAUUGGUCCUAGUACAAAUCUGCAGGCCUGCAAAGCUCUUUGAUUCUCAACCAGACCAAAAUUUACAAGGUGUUUACUAGCAAAUCAAUGUUUUACCAGUUUUCUUGUAAGGACAUUGAUCAUACCUGAAUUGGAACAAAUGUGAGCUUUUCAAAUCCCAAAUAUCCGAUACCUCCAAAACGAUUUGGGGUGUCCAUCUCUUUAACACAAAGGAGAUUCUGCAUUACAAGGAAAACUUAGAUCACAGAAUUAUAACAGAAUGCAAAAAAAUCAAGGUAAAGAACACCAAUUACCAGGAUGGAAAAUAGAAGCAACAACUGAAGAGAAAUUAAUUUGCAUACCUCGAUCCGAAUACCAAAGGCAUGGUCUUCAUAAUAGCCAGGUUCAUUGCUAACAAUCAUGCCUUUCUGUAAAGGAGUCAUAUUUCCAAAUCGAAAGCUAAUACUUUGAGGGCCUUCAUGAACAUUCAAUGCAGCUCCUACACCAUGCCCAGUCCCUACCACACAAGAUUAAAACAGAAACAAUAAAUAAGCACAAAUUUCAAUUGAAUACAAACUACUGACAGGGAAAAAUAUUUCAACUGCACAAGUAAACUGAAAUGAGAAGUACCAUGCCGGUAAUCAAGUCCAAUCUUCCACAGAAAGGACCGGGCAAAUGCAUCCAAUACAAAACCAGGAGUAUUUUCAGGGAAUACUGCCUGAUCAAGAGCUAUAUGACCCUGCAAUUGACACCAUCAGAAACCAUCGAACUAACUAAAUUCUUAAACGCCAAAAUUGUUCACAGAACACUGUCAUAUAGUGACUUCAAAUGACAUAGCAGCACAAAUAGGAUGAUCAUAUACUGUGACUGAACCAUUAAAAAGGUCCCACUUAUGGAUCACUGCUGGCUUGGAGUAAUCUCGAAAUGAAAAAGCACUAAUAGUAUAUUCAAUCCAUGACAUGAUGCUAGAAUAUCACAAAGCCAUAAGAUACCUGACAGCCAUUUGUCUGAAUUGUCCAGUGAUCGGUCUUUUUUUUUGGUCAAAAGAAAUUAACCAAAAAAAAAAUACAAUUUUAAAACUAAUAAACUAUUCUAUAUACAAACUAGUGGGACAACAAGAGUGAUUUCCUGUAAAGUAUUAAAGAAAUAACAUAAUUUUAAAUACAUGAACAUGCAUAUAAGCACAUCUCCCACAUGCACAUGGAGGGCUUAAUAGCUUGAAAUUUGUUAGCCAACAAUUCAACAUCAUCCAUUUUCUUUUGCAUACUUUUUUUUAUUUAAGAAAUGUACCAUGAGCAACCGUAAGACUUCAUCUUUUAUUAAAUAGUAUGUGUCCAUAUUAUACAUUUAAGAAAGUUUUAGAAGAUGCAGCACCUGUAAAACUCGGGUGAAGCAUUCUUUUUGCCGUGGAGUAGGUUCGCCAAAAUGCACUGUCCUGGUUAUAUCGGUUGUUCCAUCAAUAUAUUGAGCUCCACUGUCUAAUAGGAACAUUUUCUUCACAUCCACAAUGCUACAACUAUCUGGAUUUGGUUUGUAAUGUAUGAUGGCACCAUUUGCACCCGAAGCUGCAAAAAUCAUUCUAUCCAUGACCGGUGAAGUUGAAAGGAAGAACCAGUACAACAUUUAUCAAAUUAGAGUCCAAAAUAUGGUGAUUAAGCAUCAUCAUUUAUGAAUUCUUAAUGCAGAUUCUGUAGUGGAAAAGAUUUCUCUAUUAAAAGUUGUAGCCAACAUGCUUUUGCAUGACUGCAAGAGAUAUAUCAUAGAAUCAUAGCAUUAUCUUCUACAUCAAAGGUAAGAACAAUGGAUUUAUGCCAAUAUCCAAUCACAUUUUCUGCAAGGAGUGAAAGCAUAAUUGGGAUACUGAUCUUUGUUUGGUAAACUCAAAGAAGAUUUUGUACAUAGGGUCUAACCCAAUCUAAUCCACUAAUUGCAUGAAAUAUAAAUUUCCUUGUUCACUAGGGUGUGAAUUACCACAUUUCCCAAACCAUGCCUUAAAAUUAUGAUGGAAUUUCAACCAAGAUUUGAAUUUAAACUUUUUGUUUGGGAAGUACAAAUUCAUCAAUGCAAUCUAACCCAAUAUUACAAGGGCAAGUACAUUUUAGAACAAUAAUUCCAAGAAAGGAUGAACAAUCUUUUUGGUUCAUCACUGAAAAGGAGAAAGGAAUGGAAAAUGAAAUAAGGGAAAAAAGGAACAAGAACAAUAUUCUUUUUAAAAUGACUUAUUUUUGUUUUGUAAAGCUCUUGUAACAUGAGUAAGAAUAUUGUAAACAUCUUGCCAAGUAAAAUUUUCCCUUAAAUCAAACCUGUUGCAUGAGGACAAUUUGGGUGGCCCCCGUAUUUCACUUUUUGCUCUUCUAACUCAUAGACCAACCAAAAGAACUAAGAAAAUAUCAAAAAUUUUGUCCCCUCCCUUCCCCUCCCCUUAUUAAAGGGAACACAAAAGAGAACAGCCAAAUGUCUCAAAAAUGAAAUCAUAUCCUAAGCCAGUAUGCCAUGAUGCAGGGAUCAGGCAUUUCCAUGACAGGACCAACGAGGCAAUAGCUGAAGAAAGGUUUGAUAUAGCAUCCCUCAUAUAGAUCAUACAUUUUGCAAGUUCUAUUGACACAUUUCCAUAAAUCAAAUUCUAAAAUCCAACUCUUGAAAGAUGAAAAUAACAAUAAUAUGUAUGCAUCUAUAUGUAGAGUAAGAUAUUCUAUUUCCAGUAGAAAGCUUUGAUUUGUUAUCGUUCGUUUGGAAACUUGGUUGAAAGUUACAAGAUCCUUUACCAAUGAUGAAGAAUCUCUGAUAUUGAAAUUGGAUUCUUCAAUGAGGAGAAAAAAUAUAAUGAAUAUAGAAGUUAGCGUACCACUUAUAGUAUCAAAGCUUGUAUCCAAGAAACCAGCCUGCAUAGAACGGAAUUGAAGAAGUUUAUCUGCAACAUCUACCUCUGUCAAUAGCACACCCUUAAGGAUUUCUUCUUCCAGCCAGGACCAAAACUGUGCAAGAGCAGCUGCAUCCCUGAAGAGAAGACAUCACACGACGUGUACUUCCUGAGUUUUUUUUUUUUUGUUAUAUAUAUAUAUAUAGGUAAAAAGGCAAAAUAUAUUAAAAAGCACAUGGAAAAGGCGCAUCAAGUGCACAUGGAGUAUACAAAACGGCUGAGAGGUAAGAGAAGGAAAAACAUACAAACACUACCCAAUACAAAGGCAUGGCCUGAAGACAAGAAAAACAAAUGGCACCCAAGCGACCAACCAACAUGCAGCCAAAACAUAACUGCUAACACCAGGGGAAAAUAGAGUUAGUCUUGACCCAUCCUUCGAACCACUUUUCCCAACUCUAGCUUGAACCCUCGGAAACCACUUUCCGGCUCUUUCUCUCUUUGCCACUUCACUGGGAGUAGUUAAUCAAACUCUCCAACUUCUAAAGCUCCCUAUCAAAACGAGAUGUAGACAAGGGUCCCCCUUAGUACCUAAAGCCCACCCCUCUGCACCCCCCCCCCCCUGUGUAAGACCAUUUUUCUGCCUUCUAACUUCAUCAAAAGAGAGGCAAAUUCCUUCUCAAACCCAUCCACAGGCAAACCCAAAUACUCACUGAAGGAGACAAAAUUCAUGAGUGAAGAAAGAUUUCCAGCUCCCAUCAAGUCCUUGCUAGGGCUUUCCUUUCCCUAAACAGGGAUUUAAUGGAAGGCUCCUGAAAGGCUGAUGAGAUUUUGACCUGUCUAAUGGCCAAUGAGUAUCUAAAAAUCUCCUUAGAAACUCUGAUAGGAAAAAGGAUCUCCUUACAUAAUGCAUCCCAAGGAGAUUACACAAAGAGGACCAGAGAAUUAAGAAUAAACCAGAAAACAUUUUCUGUGAUAAAAAAGUCCACUGGAAUAAAAGCUACAAUGAAAAGCAAUAAGCUUAACUCUAUAGUAGCUCAUGCAGUAUUGACGAUAACUACUAACAAAAUAAUUCAUAUCUGCAAGAAAAAAAUUUCAUUGAUGUUCUGCUCCAAAGGACUAAUUGAGAAAAACAAUAAAUUGAACCAGUAAAUUAAUCCUUACUAAAUGCAUACAUCCUUGAUAGUUUCCAUAUUUAUUAUCCAAAACUACCAUAUCAACUCCAUUUUUAAAACUUAAAUUUUAAGGUACAGUAUAACCAACAUACUGUUUAAACAAAAACAUGAAUUAUGCCAUUAAGCAACAAUAAAUCAAUCCUUUCUGAUUUGCCAUAAAGGGGAUUACAAAAUAAAGCCUAGCUUAUUUAAAUAUUCGAUAUCCAGAACUACCAACAACUAUACUUUUUAAACUUUAAUUUAAGGGGCAUUAUCGUUUACAGUCUGACACUCAUUCCUGAGCUUAGAAACUUAAUAGCUAGAAGUUGAUAGCAUAAAUAAGUUUCCAAAUAGCCGGAGAAAUUCAACACAAAGAAAUCAUGUUCUGGGGGAAUAUUUGAUUCACCUUAGAUGAGAAUUGCGCAUCCCUUCCAAUUCAGCCUGAUUUUUCACAGCCUUCGCCAGCAAAAUAGGUGAAAUCUUAUAAACUCCAGUGGGCACCCCAGAUUGACCAUUGGCGACUCCAUAGGCCUCAGACUUAUUUUUCCUCUUAUUAUCAAGGCUCCCAGAAUACUGGUCACAAGCAGCCUCGUAGGUGUUGACAAUAGCAGCAUUAACAGAGGACGUAUCCAACCAGAGGUGUGCCCCUUUCGCUGCCAAACUGAAGAAGCAAAUCAUGUUUUAGUUAAUGAAAGUAUGAAAUCUGUCCAACCCACUAUAUGUUAGAUAUCAGGCCACUCUGAAAAAAAUAACCCAAUGAUGGCAAAUCCUUGGUGUUAUACACAAGACACAAAUGCAAUUAGCAUCUUUCAUGCACAAAUAUACUUGUUGCUAGUUUUAUUCACAGCCACUAAGUUGCAGUCCAACACCUUGUAUCAGCCUCAGAAAUUUUACACCAAUGGUAGUGUCCUAGCCACAGUUACAAACCUCUAGAGCACAUCCAAAGUUAGAGUCCGGUGAGACUCUGAGGUAUCCACUAUAUAUGGAAAAUAAGCUACUUUCAUAGGUACCGAAGUAGAAUAAUCACUUGAGCGUAACAAUAUGCAAGUGUUCAUCAACACUGCACAAAUUUUGACACUGACAAAAAGUUUUCAGCUCCCAAACUUACUUCUUUAUUUCAGCUAGAAUGGAUUCAUAUGGUCUCAACUCUAUGCCUGCAUUCUUCAAGUGAUCCAUCACUUCUGGGCUGACUUUAGAAUCAUCAAUAAAUAAUUUUGCCCCAUCAAUCUCCACAAUUAAGUAUGCAUACAUAACAGGUGAGUUUGGAACAUCAUUUCCUCUCUGCAAACAAAAUUGAGAGUAUUAUUUAAAUUAAAGAUUAAAGGACCAAAACACAAACCAUUUCUGAAUAAUAAAUCAUAAAAUUUGCCUUUAAUGAAUAGACCGGAUUUAAAAAAAUGAAAUCCCGUAUGCCAUAAAGGCGGUCCUGUAUCCUAGACUAAUUCUCAAGCAGCCAGCUUUGAACUUUGUUAAACAGAAUUUGAAACCAUCCCAGGGAUAGAAGUCGGGGUUAUUAUAACAUAUCUAAGAAAGUUGGUCAGAAGGAUUACCAAGUUUAACAGCCAAGAAACUUCAUCAAGCAUAGAAACAACAAUAGCAGAACAACCAGCAUCAAUGAGUUCAGACCUCAGGGAAGACAAUUUUGAUGAGACAUCUAAACCAGCAUAUGUCAGCUCAUGCACUCUAAUUGGUUUUCUUGGAGGCUCCGGCCUUGAUUCUUUCCAUAUUUCAUCCACAAGAUUUAAAUCAUAUAGGUAAACCAAUUCAUGAUUCUUCUUAGCAAUGGCCUCUUUCAAUUCCUCUGCAGCAUCAGAAGAAAAAAGAAACUGCUCCCUUCACAAAAUCAAAGAGAAGGUGGCAUCAGACAGAAGCAAGUAAAGAAUAAAAAUAAAAAAUAAAUUACUUUACAGCUAAUAAUUUUUUUUUAAAAAAGAAAAAAGGAUAAAAAUAGAUGCAUAAGAGAGAAGAAAAAUGAAUGAAUAAUUUUAAGCCAUCCAUUUGACUCAAAAGCCAAAGCUAUAAGAUAGUGGGCCUAUAAUGUAUGUUAAGCCAACUAGGGUUAAAGCACUAACACUCCACUCCACUACACAGGCAACCUCUUUAAGCUUGCUUGUAGGUUCAAUAAAUAGGGAAAAUAAACAAGCAGCUGGUUUGAACUCAUGGCUCCCCAAUAAUCAAGGUUUUGAAACUAUGUUUGAGCUAACAAAAAUGAAGGUAUACUAACAAAUAGUGCCAGUUAUCAAGAAGGCAGAGAUGAGAAUUUUUCCAUUAACUAAUUGACCUCCACUGGGACCAGCAAGGUUUGUCCCAACUAUUUGGGAUCAGCCAUAUCAAUCAAAGCACAGCUGAUCAAGGUAUGCCAAAUUCCUAGGAAACCAGCUGGUGACAAAAGAGGGGCCUACAAUGAACCUUGAUCAACACUAUUUGGUGCAAAAGGAAAUAAUGACACGCAUAAAGCAUGCUUCUGAAUGCUUUUUACCAAAUCCUGACAUAUGUAAAUGAUACAUCUAACACAGGCUUCAUCUUAGUGAUGAAAAGUAAGGGUUAAAAUCCACAUUUUCAAGGUAAAGAUAGUUAAAAAUAAAAAAUAAAAAUAAAACAUAUACUUCAAUCAGAAGCACAUAAUAACAAGAAGGAGCACCCUUUUUAGGAGGUCUGAAUGUUACUCACAGGAUCAAUGCCAAUUCUGCAACCAGGAGCCAAAACAUCAUUAAGCCAUUCACUGGUUGUAGGAACUCCAUAGUUACCAGCCCGCAUAAGAAUCCAAUUAGAGCUUAACUGCUUCUCUGCCUAGUCAUAACCAAGAGAGAAAAUUACCAAUAAAAUUAAUAUCCCUCAAGCUACAAGAUAUCAAAAUGUUAAUAAGAGAAAAAUAAAUAGAAACUACAAAAAUUUGACAGACCUCCCAAAAGUAAAAUAGAAAUAAAUAAAGCUUUGAGACCAUGAUAUAUAUAGCUAACUCAGCAGAAUGUCUAAAAAGUAAAUUUAUAGUUCUUUUUUCCCAAACCUGGAGAAAAUAACGCCCAUCUGUCCAAAGAGCUGCUUUAUCCUUUGUGACAACAGCAGUACCAGCACUGCCAGUAAACCCUGAUAUGUAGGCCCUCCUCAUAUAACAUUCAGCAAUGAACUCACUCUAGAAGCCAAAAUAGAAGUGCUUCAGAAUUAAAUAUCCAGUUGACUCAACGACGACAAGUACUAUGUGGUAAAUGGAACCAAAGAACAUGAAUCCAGAUAAACCUCCAAGUGGAACUGGAGGCUUAAUUUGUUCCCUUAGAAAUUGAAGGUAAAAAUAUCACUAAACAGAGAUGCAAUUAACAGUAUAAUGGUAAAAAGUAAGACAAGCAUUUUUAAUGGUAUUUCUUAGAAUCCUGAAAAUGAAAAGGAUUCAGGAUUAGGAUGCAUGCCCCAAGCUUGAUUUGCACUAAUCUGAGGUUAGGCUUAAAAUAGAAGUCAAAUGAGGGAUAGACCAGAUCUAUCAUUGGCCACGCAACGCUCAACUUAAAGAACUAUUUGGAUAAAAUUCCCAUGUUAUUAAAUUAUUGGAUUGUGUCAUUGUUGCAUUCAUAAAUUUAUCAAACAAGAACUCCAUGAAAAAUUUAAAAAGGUAUGUGGAAAAAUAAAUAUAAAAACAGACAUCAUGUAAUUCUAUAAGACAUUGACACAAGCCUUUUCAAAAUCUACCAUUAUUAGAAACUCCAAAACACCAAAUUUAAAAACAAUUGCUCAAAAUAGUUAAACCCAAUUAUAAUUCAGCAAUAACAGACCAUUAAAAACCCAGACAAACUGGUAAGUUAAUUAAAAAUAAUAAUAAAUUAAACCCAAUAAGUGAAAUUUUCUCUUUUCGGAUCCCAAGGAAGAAAGCGGUAAAGAUUACAGGCUUUAAUUUCUUCUCCUCAUAUAGUUUUUUUAUUAAAAGUCAAGUAGCUCCAAACCACCAAGAAAAGAACAGAAAAAAUAUAUUGAUGAACCCCCAAAAUCAAAAAGUUCAAAAUAAUGGCUCAAAACACUUAAAAAUGGUAGACAUGCCAAAUCAACGUAUCCUGGUUAAGGUUUUUGCAUGACUUGAAGCUAAUAAAAAGGUUGAUACCAACUGCUUGCUUCAAUUGAGGAGGCCCUACAAAGCUCUCAACCUGGACCAAUAUCUUAUGACUUAUGUGUUUGAAGAGUAAUGAAUCAUUUGAUCAUCUAUUUCUUCAUUGUACCAUAGCAUUGGAAUUUUGGCAUGGAUUGUUCCAUAUUGCUAUGAUUGAUUGGGUACCUCCUGGAGACAUAGCAAAGACAUUAGGAAUCUCUUUUAAAGUCUUUGGUAGCCUGACAAAAAGGGAAGAUUCUGAUAGGUAUCUAAUGAAGGAAAAAUUUAUUAGUGAUAUUAUUGAAUUUCAAGAACAGGGCCAGACUGAUACAAGAUAGCUAUUCGGGAUGCUAUCACUCUCCCCCCAAACUCCCAGAACAGCCAGCUAUCCUGACCAAUUCCAUAUUUUCCUAUUUAAGCUAUUCCAGCUUGUACCAAGAGUGUUACACAGCCUGUACAAGGACUGUUAACACUAACUGCCAGUUUGCAGUACACUUCUCUUCCCUUUUCUGGACUACACAUAACGUAUACGAGGCCUAUCAGAUUCUUUGGCAAUUGGCUAUCUUAUCCUUGAUGUGGUUUUUAUGGUUGGAGAGGAGUGCUAGGAUAUUUAAGGAUUGAUGGAGAUUUGUGGAGGCUAUUUAGGGUUCGAUUUACUCUUUCCAUUCCCUGUGAGCCUCAAUCACAAAGCCUUUUGUUGGUAUUCCUUUGUAUCUCAUAUAGCUAGAUUGGAAGAAUGUCUGCAACUCAAAGAGAUCGAAUAUGAAGACUUAUGAUUGGUUGGUACCCUCUCCUAUAGGUUCAUUAAAGUUAAAGUUUGAUAGGUGUUUUUUGGGAAAUCCUAGGCCAUUAGGUAUCAGAGGAGUCAUAAAAGAUCAUUCAGGAACAGUACUAAAAGUGUGCUCUAAACCUGCAGGAAUGGGUUCAGCUAUUGAAGUGAACAUAUUAGCAUUAUUUGAGGGCCUGGUGCAUGUCAAAGCUUUGUGCCGAUCCAAUCUAACUAUAGAGGGAGAUUUUAAUAUAGUAAUUUCUUUGGUGUCUAAAAAGGAGAGAGGCUAAUAGAAGUUCAAAAACUGGAUCCACAAAAUCAUACAUAUUACUAAUGAGGUGGGAUGCUCCUUCUCUUAGGUUUCUUGUUCAACUAAUGAAUCAUCCAGGCAAGAAGCAAAGCACUUGGUCUCCUGUGUUGGAGAUUUCCUACCCCUUGAGUGAAUAAAGUUUCUUUAGUAUAUAUACACUGUCUUUUCUUUUGUUUAUGUGGAUGAUUUUAGCUUUGGAGCAGCAAUUCUACAUCUUGGAAGGAUUGUUUAUCCUUCUCUGUAUUUACCAUUGAAUAAAUGAAUAUGUUUGUUUCUUAUUAGAAAACCUACAGACAGUAAAACAAGACAAACAAAAGAUUAUGAAGCAAAAUCAUAAAGUUGUACCUAACAAGUGAAGGUGUUUCAAAAUUACAAUUAUGUCCUAUUCCCAUCUUUUUUCAUAAGCCAAAAACUCCCAAUUGAAUUUUAACACUAAUUCACAGACAUAAUCAAUAAAAAUAAAUAAAAAAUAAAAAAUAAAAUUGAUAAGCACCAACAUAAUCAAUAAAAUCGCGAACUAAAAUUCAGAAACAGUGAUUUCUUAUUUUUUUUCAAUCUUUUCUAAGAAACCAAGUGAAUGCCACACAAAGUUCAACAUUAAAGCACCAAUAAAACUAUAAAACACACAUAACAUUCUCUUCUUCUUCGUCUUCUUCUUUGGGAAAAUAAGGGGAAAAAAGCAUGAUGAACCUGAUGACUGAAGCUUCCUGUUCUAUUAUUAUUUCUUUUCUUUUUCCUCAACUUUUCUCAAGACAAUUUCUUCCUUUUCCUACCUUUUCUCAAACAAUCUUUUUCUUUUCCCACCUUUCCUCAUAAACCAAACAAACCCCAAUACAACUCAACAUGAGUAUAGCAUAGUAAAAACUAAAACUUCAUAAUAAAUUAAAAGUUUUUAGUCAAUAAAGAUCAACAAGUACAAUUCAAAAUUUUAAUUUUAUUCCCUUUUCCUUCAUUUUCUAAACAACCAAACACCCCACUCCAAAUUCAACUAAAAAAAAAUACCAUUUCAAUCAUAAAACCCACAAUUAAAAAAAAAAAUGGAAAAGCACACACGCGCGAGUUGAACCUGAUUAGAGGAGGUUCCCCUCUCUGAAAAUUUUACAGUAUCUUUUUUUUUCCCACCUCGUCUCAGAAACCAGACAAACCCGAAUUGAAAAUCGACACCAACACGCCAUAAAAAAACACUACAAUUACACAAUAACUUAAACCAUUCAAUAAAAAUCGUGAUGCAAAAUUCAAAGUGUUAAUUUUUUUUUUUUCUUUGCCAACAUUUUCCGGCCAACCAAACAAACCCCACCAAAAAAUCAACAUGAAAUAGCCAUCAAAACCACAGAACCCGCAAAACAAACUACCGAGAAAACAUGAACUGAACCUGGUGGGCGUCCUGGGAAGGGAUAAUAUACGCAUCAAUUCCAAUUCCGGGCUUCGAGAACAGCUCACGCAGAGAACGAAGCUUCUCAUCCUGCUCGGAAUCGGCAGAUUUCUUCCGAAACUGAGAAGAGGGUUUUGCGGUAAUGGAAGCGCAGUUUCGAACAAGGAAAAUAGGGCGGUUCUGGGAUUUUGGGCAGAAACUGUGGGGACUCUUGAAUUUGUAGAAAAUGGGAAGCGAGUGAGAGAGGAAAUGGAGACAACGGGGAUGCAGCUGAGAAGAACGAGGAGAGAAAGCCGUAGAGAGGGUGAGAGGAGACAUCAGUGAUGAUGCUGUUGACCGCAUGGUUGCUAAUUCAGAGAGAGAGAGAUAAGGCCUCUGCGAGAGAGCCAAGGAUGCAGCACUCCUGGGAGGCGGGGAGAGAAUCCAAGAAAUUUUGGUGUUUGGACAGAGACCCAAAACGGUGCGUUUUGAGGAUGCUCAUAAAACGGUGUCGUUUCCUUUAGUAUUUCCUUAGAAAAAAUUUCCCAAUAUUGUACCCUUUAAAAAUGAAACAAAUAUUAAUUUUGCAUCAUCCACUAACAUAACCAUUAAUGUUUUGAUACAUUGUAUUUGUAUAUUAAGAAAAUACAAAAUAAUAAUAUUUUUAUUUGGAUUUGUUAGGAUAUUUUUCCUAUUUUUUGUUUUCAAAAAUAAAAACUUUUAUAUAAAAAUAAAAAUUAUUAUACAAAAAUAUAUAUACUUAUCUUAUGUCCUUAAAUUUUAAAUUUUAUUUUUAAAAAUAAUUAUAGCCAUGUUUGGCAACUGUUUUUGAAAACAUGAAAAAUAGUUAUUGAAAAUCAUGUUUAAAGAUUGUUUUCUAUUGUUUUAUAAAAUAAAAAUCUAUUUGAAAACCCACUUUUAACAUAUUUUCAAAAUUUUAAAAUAUGUUUGUAAAUGUUUUAUGUCUAGAAAAAAAUGUGAUCAAUUGUAUCAUGUCGUGUAUGCAUAUUUAGUUUUAUUACUUUGCAUUAAAUAUGAUCCCAUUAUAUUUUAAUAUGGUUUUUUUAUAGGGUUUAUUAUACUUUAUCCCCUCGCAAACAUAUACCAUGUUUUGCAUAUUAUCCCCUCAAAUUUAAAAUUGAGCAAUAUAUCAAUCAUGCUUUAUAAUGGUAUGUAUUGUACAUUUUUUGAGUUAUGACAUUACAUUUUUUUAUGGAAUGACAUAUGAUCUUCGCGUUAUUAAAGGUAAAAUUGUCAUUUUUCUCAAUCUGCAAUCUUCAUCUCCCCCGUCAAUGAUUUCUUCUCUUAUUGCAGUUGGUGAAGCCCCAUAUCGAAGUCCUCCCCCUAUUCUUACUUCCCUUCAAAGCCUUAAAAUCUCAAUCCCACAAAGUUGCUACCAAAAACCCCACAUAAAUUCUUCUUGUCCGUUGUUCCUCUUUGUUCAGGGGUUUUUAGUAGCAACUUUGUGGGGUUGGGUUUUAGGGCUUCAAAAGGACAAAAGAAUAGGGGAGGAGGGCCUCAACUUUGGGCUUUACCAACAGCAAUAGAGGAAGAAACGAUUGAUGGGGGAGAGGAGGGUUGCAAAUUAAGGUUAAAAAUAUGAUGAUCCUUGCCCUCACUUCUUAAAAAAUGACCAAUUUGCCCUUGUCACACGGAGAAGAUAUGCCAUUCCCUAAAAAAAUGUUAAAAAUACACAUCGUAUGGAAUUAUAAAGUAUAAAUGGUACAUUAUUCGAAUUUGAACUUGAUGGACCAAUGUGCAAAAUACAGUAUUGGUUGGGGGCAAAGUGUAAUAAACCAUUUUUUAUAUAUAUAUAUUUGAUUUUUUAUUUGUUUAUAUUUUCAAUUUUGGUCAUGAUUAAAACUUUGGAACCUAAAUGGAUACCUAAAAUGUUCCUAAACUUAUGUAUCUUUUGUACAUGGGCAUAAAAGUUGUAAUAGAAAGGAUAACAUUCACUUUACUUUUAUAAAGGUAAGCGCGUUGAAACGCAGCGUUUCGGGAGGGCUCAUACCCACAGUCCCACUUGAGCAGAGUAUCGUGGUGAUCGCCAGAUUCGCCACUGAUCUUCGACCUUGACCUCAACCCCCUGUUGUUGCCUCCGCAGAGCUCCGACCCCACAUCAAUGGCGAUCAUAACUGAAGAAAUCGACGAAAACCCUCGUUCUAAACCGACCCGCGAAACCCCUAAACCAACCCAUAAAACCCCCAAACCACCCCCAACGUCAACCUCACCAAAUCCAUUCUCCUUCUGGUUUUACUUCACUCUCUCAGUUUCUCUUGCCACUUUCCUCUUCUCCUCUCUUCCUUCUCUCUCUCCCCAAGAUCCCAAAUCAUGGUUCCUCUCUCUCCCCACCAACCUCCGCCACCACUACUCCAAGGGUCGAAUCAUCAAGGUCCAGACCGACGCACACCAUCCCCCAUUUGAAGUCUUCACGGUCCAAGAAGGCGCCAAAGCAUCUGAGAAUGUAGUGAUCGUUCACGGUUUGGGGUCUAGUUCGUAUGCCUUUCGCAAUGUUAUCCAAUUUUUGGGGUCCAGAGGGGUUCAUGCUGUUGGUGUUGAUCUCCCUGGUUCUGGGUUUUCUGAUAAAUCGGUGUUGGUGGAGGAAAUGGGAGAUGGUGGGGUUUUAGGGAGGUUUUCGGAGGUUUAUAGUCUUAUUCAAGAAAAGGGCUUCUUUUGGGCUUUUGAUCAUCUUGUUGAAACUGGGCAGAUGCCAUAUGAGGAAAUUCAGAUUCAGGUUUCCAAGAGAAAGAGUGUUAAAGUAUUGGAAUUGGGCCCUGAAGAAAUGGGUAGGGUUUUGGGCCAGGUGAUAGAUUCACUGGGGUUGGCUCCAGUGCAUCUUGUUCUGCAUGAUUCUGCAUUAGGAAUUUAUGCGAACUGGGUUUCGGAGAAUUCGGGUGUGGUGAGGAGUGUGACGCUUGUUGAUACCAUGCUAGGGGCCUCGGCUUUGCCACUAUGGCCACUGGGCGUCCCAGUGGUUAGGGAGGUGGUACUUGGGUUUGAGUUUGUGUUUGCAAGGCUUCUCAACUUGUGUUGUGUGCGAAAGAUUCCUAUUUCAGAUGUGGAGGCACAUAGAGUUCUUUUGAAGGGUAGGGAUGGAGCUAGAGCAGUUGUUGGAACAUGGAAGAAGUUGAAUUCUAGCUUUGAUUUGCAGGAAUGGGGUGAUUCGGAAGGGUUGAAAGGUUUGCCAGUGCAAGUGCUUUGGUCUAGUGGUUGGUCCAAAGAAUGGAGUGAAGGGGGCCGGAAGGUUGCUGAUGCGCUUCCACAUGCUACAUUCAUCACUCAUUCCGGUAGCAGAUGGCCUCAGGUAAUGAUUUAAUAUUUCCUAUUGCCAUUGCCUGAUGUUCAAUGUAUUUGAUGAAACCAUAAGUUUCAAACUCUAGGCUCCAUUUGGCUGAAUAUCAGAUGAUUUGUUCUAAAAAUUUAUAGAUGAGAUGAUUAUGUAAUUAGUUUAAAAUAAUUUGACUUGAGAAUAAAGUGGAUUAAACUCUUGUAUCAAAUGGAUCAUUUAACUACACAUUGGCUUCUGGAGUAGAGUAGUUUCACUGUAAUGCAACUGUGCUACAAUUGAUUGGUGAGUGAGGCUGAUUCUUGUAUGGUCCUGAUUGGGAAAUGGUGUAAUAAAUGGUCCUGAUCAGCUUUACCAGUUAUGUAGUCCCUACAAAAUCAAUGCGCUGCCAGGAGAUCCGGAUCAGUUUCUGAAUGCAACUUCAGUGAAGAAUGACAAUUUGAUAGUUAAAACUGUAUUGCUAAAUGUUUAGGGUUGAAACCAUUGAAGUUUGUUGCUGCAUUUAGAUGUUCUUUGCAUAUUAUGUCCACCAAAAGUAUUGUGUUGGUGACAGAUUUUGGAUUUGCCUUGCCAAUCAUGUCAUCCAAAAUAAUUGAGGAAUGGAAGAUUGUAAAUCUGUAAUAUAGAUCUUUCUGUCCCAACAUUUGCAGUGUUGAUUGAAUUUUGAAAAAGUUGGAAAAGACCAGCAACAACAAUUUUUCAAGCCAGCAAUUAGGUUGGCUGAAUUCUAGCUACUUUUGUGAUGUGAUCAAAAGAAAUGUUUGUGCCGUUUGUUUUAGCCUUUUGGUAUUCUAAGCAUUUUAUAACUAAUAGAUUUUUGGGUUGGCCUGUGGUCUCCUUUUUGACCUUUUCUGUACUCAUGUUUGAAUUCUUUUUUUCUCUCAAGAAAGUCCUCCUUUCCUUUCAUCUUCCCAUUCUUAAUAAAAUUGCCAUCCCUAAGAAAAGGAAGAAAAUCAUUGCCAUAAUAGAUCAUGGCUCCCAUCAUUCUCUUGGAAAUUAUUGUAACAUUUAUCCCUCCAUUUUUCUAGCACUUUAGGGCAUUGUUUUGGUUUCAGGCUGUGGUUAGUUGUUUGUCUUUUCCUUUGCUUGCAUUUGGACCUUUUUGUAUACAUCGUGUGUACUUGGUGCACCAAUUCCAAGUGCUUUUAAUAUAUUUAUUUAUUUACCUAUUUAGAAAAAAAAAACAUUUAUACAGAAGAAACUGUUUCCACCAUUUUUGUUUGACAUGGUCCAUUGUGAAGAGAGGCAUAUCCAUCAACCCACCUGCUUCCUUUUGUACAUUUCCAGUUUUCUAUCCGAUCUCAUCAUUUCAUUUUCUUUUUAUAAGUAAUUUGCAUAAACAUAUGUCGACACAAGUAGUUGGGAUAAGGUGCUUUUCAGUUGAGUUCAUUUUCUGCAAAUGGAUCGCCCAAUUAAAAACAAAGAAAUCAUAACCACUGAUCAAUUCAAUUCAUUUUUAGCUUUUAUACUUUCUUUUGUUGAUUGAGCUAUUGAUAGAUCAGGAAACCACUGCACUAAUCCUAUUACUGGUACAUGUUGUUACAUGUGCCGUUGUCUGCUUGCCAUGUUUGAGGCUCUUGCAUUCUGUAACCGAUGAACAUGACCUGUACAACUCAAAGCCCUUUGCUACCCAAUAUAAAAGACAUGUCAAAACUCCUAUUAUGCUCAUUUCUUUAAUCUAGGCAGAAACAAUUAACUUUGUGUUUGCCUGAAACUAGCAAUCCAUUGUUCUUGUAAUCAUAUAUUUUUUAUUACUGUAGCUCCAAUAUUUUGUGUUUGAUCAUCUCAGGAAGAUGCAGCUGAUGAGCUGGCCGAAAACAUUCUUCGAUUUGUGUCCUCGUUACCAAAAUCUGUCAGACAAGUUGAGGAAGAGCCUGUGCCCGAGCAUAUCCAGAAGAUGCUCGAUGAAGCACAAGGCGGUGACCAUCAUCACCAUCACCAUCACCAUGAUCAUGGUGCCCAUGGUCAUGCUCAUGAUCAUUCAGACGGUUACAUGAAUGCAUAUGGGCUUGGUCAUGGGUGGGCGAGUUGAUCCAUUUCCUACUAACAUUCACAAGUGAACCCUACCAGGCAUGAGCUUCCCUCAGAUCCCUGGGUGUUGCUUCUCUGGUAUCAUACUGUGCCAUUCUCUUCGAAGUUCUCUAUGCCAGAAUCAUAGUGAGAGAGAUUGUUGUUUUGAAGCUUUGAAGCUUUUGACUUAUCAGUGAAUGUUUGUGAAGACCAGCUUAUCUAUCAAAUUGGGUAGUCUUCUGAUUUAUCUUCACUUACAAGUUACAUCUAGUUUGUUGUUUUCUGUACUUUGUAAGUUUGUAACUAAGCUCUUUGGUUGCAAUGAGACACUGGUUGACUCAAGCUUGUCUGGAUUCUAUUAUUUCUGAAAGUGUGAUACCCAUGAUUUUGGAAUGAUUAUGAUCAUCUAUUUAUAUUUAUUUGCUCGGACUAUGUUUGGUUCUGGAAAAAUUGAGAGAAAAUGCGAGGGAAAGAAAAUAUAAAGAAAAAAAUAAAAUAAAAAACGUAAAAUCAAUAACUCAUUUUUAUAUACUAUUUCAAAGUGAUUUCACAUAUUUUAACUACAAUGCUAACUUGGUAGGUUGGUUGGGUUGAUGGUUAAUGUGAAACUAAUAUGAAUUAAAAAAUAAUCAAUUCGAGUCUAACACAAUCCGAGGUAUUUGAUCCAAGGUUAUUUUUUUAGUUUUCAUGUUGUAUAAAUCAAAAUUUAUUCAUAAUGUUUUUCAAAAAAAAAUACCAAUGUAUUUAUAUCCAAUUUCAAAUAGUAAAGAGACACAAUUCCAAAAUAGUAAAAAAAAAAAAAUUACAUAUAUUUUCAAAAAAAAUGAAAAAUGUACAUAUAUGAUUAUAGUUUAUUAUUUAAAAAAAAUCUAAAAAUUUAUGAGAGAAUAAAAAUUUAUAAAUAUUAUAAAAAUAUUAAAUCAGUUGGUUAGAUUUUGGUUGUCUAAACCUUAAUAUAAACUCAACUUAAAUUAAAUUCCAGUUGAAAAAACUUAAUUAAAAGUCGACUCAAGUAUUAAAAAUUAUUUUCUUAAAUUAAAUUCGAGUUGAAAAAACUUAAUUAAAAGGCAAUCAAAGUAUUAAAAAUUAUUUUCUGAGCUCGUCUAGAGAUAGGAUUUAAUAUCAAGUAUUGCAUCCUCAAUUUCACUUUUUUUAAUAUAAAAAUAAAUAAUUUUUAAAAUAUUAGUUUUAAAUUUAUUUUAUUCUAUUUUUUGGUAUUUUCUAUAGUUGAUUCAAACACGAGAAAAUAAUUUUUUUAAUACUUUCUUAAAACCAAAUAUAAUACUACCUUAUGUAAAGUUGAAAUAUUAGUAAUAUUUCAAUUAUAUUUUGGAUAAUUUUUUUUUCUUUAUAAACAAAAAUAGUUUUAACUCAUUAAUCAUAUAGAAGACGUUUGAUAAUGAUUUUAGGAAGUGUUUUAAGUUUUUUUAAUACUUUAAAAAUAAAAAUUUCCCAAGUGUUAAAAAAUGUCAAAAACACUUUAUAGAAUCAAUACCAAAUGUAGUCAUAGUAUGACUCAAAAUCGAAAAAAAUAUUUAAUCAAAUGAGAUUUAUCUCAAAAAGAAAAUCAAUUCAUUAAUUACAACUAACAGAAUUGAUUACGAACAAAUAAGAACAUUUUUAAAAAUAUUGUAGAUAUGGACUUUUAUCUUAUAUCUAUUGAUUAUAAAAAUAAGAAUGACUCUUGUAUUCAUGGAUCAACAUUACAACUAAAUAAUCGUUGACAGAUAGGAGGUUGGCCGCAUUCAUCAACUCUCUUUGUAUUCGAAUGUCGUAGGGCGUUUUGAUGAAUAUAUUACAAGGUAAGGAUAUGCAUUUUUUGUGACAAUAAUUGUUUUUAGCAUAGUUGGUAGCGGUUAAGGUCUUACAAGUGGUAGUAAAGUUAAAGUCAUGAAUUCAAACAUUAAUGGUUUAGUUCGAGGAGAGAUUAUUGGCAGAUUGAAAUAAUCACCCAAUAUAAUUCUUAUAAUCACAAUACACAUCCAUUUUUGCUUUAGAAAAAAGGUCGAUAUCAAGGUAUGAAUCAAUAUAUUAGUAUCAAUAGUAAUAAAAAUACAAGAUGGAUUGAAUAAUUAAUAAGAAAGAUAUGUUUUAUCAAGUUAAGAACAAUUUCAAUGCAUUUGUUUUUUCAAAUAAUUAAUGUAUCAAAAUAUACAAAAUAAUAUACAUUUGAUACUAAGAAAAUGAAUAAAAAAACAAAUUAUUUUUGUAGAUCAUCCGAUGAAUAAAACGAAAUAGACUAAAUACAAACCGAUGCAAAUAAGAUAAUUAUGAUUGAAUCAUUAGAAUGAUUCCAAGUUUCACCUUAUUUAACAUAAUCAUUUGCUUUGAAUUUUAGUUAGGUGUUAAAGUAGAAAUUAUAUUAGUAAAGAAUUCUCAUAUAAGUUAUAAAAAAAAGUUAGAAAAUAUGAUAUCUUAAAAAAUAAAUAUUUAUUUUUACUUUUAAAUAGCCAAUAAAUUAAAUUCAAUAAAAUCCUUGAGGAAUUUUCAAAAUAAUUUCCUGAGGCCCGGUGCACCAAAGGGAUGGUGCACCGGAUCCACCGGACAGUCAAAACGGACGUUCCUGUUAUCGAUAUACCACUUGACUGAAGUAAGCCAGCGUCCAUGUAUCUCGUUCCUUAAAUCCUCUGUUUGGCUCUCUAGAGAAUUGGGGAAAAAAUGGAAAAUUUUUGACUCGAUUCUUUCGGCUCUAUCUGUUGCAGGCAACCCAUUUUCUCGGCGUCCAAACGGACCUCAAAAUGGGAUGUUGCGGCGAUGAAGAAGAGGAAUUCCUCAAACACCUCAUGCCCAACUUCUCUGAAACCCUAACCUUAGGCUCCACCUUCCAAGCAUCCACUUCCGGCGACUCCGACGCCGUCAUUUCUGCGAUGAACUCGCACUUCUCGGCCCUCACCUGCCAGGACGUCCUCAGGGGCAUUUUCGAGAGGCUUCCGGUUGCCGAUCUAGCUCGGGCGAGUUGCGUGUGCCGAGUCUGGAACUUGGUGGCCUCGGACAGAGGGAUCCAGGUUCGAGCUUUUAGGGCUCCGUGGAAAUUGAAGGACGUGGUUGGAAUUCCGAGCUCCGGAAGCUUCUGGAGAGAUGAUAGUCUUGGAAAAUUUGCAAUCUCUCAUCGGUUGGUGCGCGGUGACUCUGUUGCUAGCCUUGCCGUGAAAUACUCUGUUCAGGUAUUGUUUGGUUUUCUAGAAAAUGAAGGAAAAAACGAAAAGAAGCCAAAUGUUCUGGUUGUUAGACUAAUGUAUUUGAUUUUGAUUAUUUUCAAUGCAACUGGAAUAUGGGAUUCGAACUCAGAAUUUUCUUUUUUUUUUCUUUGAUUUCUCAGCUACCAAGCGGACAUUAUCUCUCCAUUUGGUGGUUUAGUUAAUUUAGUUCAGAUAUCAAAUCCGAUUUGGCUGUUUGGCUGCUGAGAUAGCAUGGAAAAGAGAGGAAUUUAGAAUCUUCUAUUGUCCAUUCAUUGCUUUGAUAAUGAAGGAGCACAAAUAAAAUAAAAUAAAAUAAAAUCGCAUAGAAGCAUUUUAACACUAGUAAAAAGAAGGUCUAUGCAAGAUGAUACCAUACUAGAUAUACAUGCGUACUGCAAGAUCAAUGAAUGUCACAACCCACUUCUGCAAUAAUAUUUCGAAUUAGGGAACUUAUAAGAUAGUUGGUGAGUACUGGCUUGCCCAAGUGGUUUACAAACAGAUGCUAAGUGUUUCUUAGGGACCUUAAAAUGCAUGAAAGCAAGCUGUUAUAGCAGAUCAAUGGUCAUACAACUUUGCUUUGGGUCAGUUUGUAUUUGGGAGGGCUUCUUCACGCCUUCAAGUUUGAUUUGGGGGUUUCUAGCUAGCUACACAGUAAGUUGGGUGAAAGGGUAGGAUUGCAUGUCUUGCACUCUUUCAGCCUUAUUAUGAAGGUUAUUACCUGAUGCUGAUACCAUUAAAACAGGGCCCCAGGAGACACAAGUUAAAUAUGGUCCUAACCUUUGGCAUUUUUCAUGAUGUGGUUUCUCUCAAUACUCAAGUCUCUGCAUCUUUUGAUUUCUUUUAUAAGCUAAUUAGGGUUUCUAGCUAGCUACACAGUAAGUUGGGUGAAAGGGUAGGAUUGCAUGUCUUGCACUCUUUCAGCCUUAUUAUGAAGGUUAUUACCUGAUGCUGAUACCAUUAAAACAGGGCCCCAGGAGACACAAGUUAAAUAUGGUCCUAACCUUUGGCAUUGUCCAUAAUGUGGUUUCUCUCAAUGCUCAAGUCUCUGCAUCUUUUGAUUUCUUUUAUAUGCUAAUUGGGGAAUGAUGGUUUUCCAUCCGAGUUGGAAGUAGAUUGAUGGAGAAUUGGCAUGGACAGGCAUACAGUGGAUUGAAUUGAAGAAAUGAUCAGGUAUUAAAUCCCUAGAUUUGUUGAUUAUGGUCCAUUUGGGGCUAGAGCUAGAGUUGUAGAGAAGCCACAAACAAACCAUAAAUCCGCAUGUAGGGAUUUGAGAAAGUAGGGGAAAGAGAGUCUGGUGGAGAACGUCAGAAUAACAAGCUAGGGUUUGUGUGAGCAUUAAUUGCCUCUUUAAGCUUCUUGAGAAAUCUGUUAAGAUGACGCUCUUGGGCUGGGAUGAGUCUUUGUGGGAAAAAAGAGAAGGGAAGUUUGGAGAGCAGACCCUUUAUGUAUUUUUUGGACGGUUUUGAAGACAAAGAACAAAAUUGCAUUUGAAGAUAAUGUGCUGUCCAUUCAAAGACUUAAGAGCUCUUUUGUUUAUUUUCUAUGGUCGGAGACGAAAUUAUUCAUAAAAGAUGGUCCUUUGACUUUAGUUGGUUUCAUUGAUUGGGUGGGAUCUCGAUGAGGGUGGUUUUUUUGGCUCCUCCGCUUUUGAUGGCCGUUUUUUUGUCCCAGCUGGGGUGGGGGGUGCAUCUCUUCUGAAUUUUUUUGAGUUGCUAUUUUAGCGUCUCUUUUCUAUACAAUUUCUUCUCUUUUACUUAUAUAUAAAAAAAAAAAGCUUCUUGAGAAAUCUGGGAAAAGAAAGUUAGAUGAAGAAAGUGGAAAUAAAUCAUUACGGUCAGUAUGAAUGCCAACAGGUAAGAUUGGGGUUUGAGGGAAGAAAAAUGCUCAUAGGAGUUUGAAAGCUAGGGGAAAGAAUGUUGAAAACUAUUGAAAUUGACCUCAGGUAAAACUUCAUUGGAAUAUUGUAUAUAAUACCUAUCAAAAAACAAAAAAAUUGUAAAUAAUAGUAUUGCUACAUGUUAUUCUGACAAAGGGAUUUAAAAUCCUCAAUAAUAGCUUCUAGAUAAAUCCAGCCUCUUGAACUUAUCUAGUAAGCUCUAGGGUGCAACCAUACAAGAACUAAUGCAUCAGAUCCCAUGAGAACUCAGCACAGUGUGCUUGGCCAAGAGUGUUGCUUGGGAGGGACAUCCCAUAGGAAGUCCUCAUUUUGACCCCUUCAAAGUGGAAACGAUAGAAACAAUAAUGUUUUUUAAUAAAUAAAUAAAUAAACCUAAGCUAGUAACUUUCUUCCUUUGCCUGGGUGGUGUCAUCUAUCUACUUUGUGCAGGUGGUCUGGGGUCUGAACCUCCAUGAGACUCCUCCAUGAAGGUGUGUGUAAUAGAAUACCUCCAUUAGUGGUGAGAAUAAUUGAGAGAGAUGGGAUUUUUGUGUUGGCUAGUAAUAGUUAAGAAAUGACUGGAUGAAAUCAAAUUACAGGGUUGAAUAAGUUAAUAUUCUUAUAUAAAUUUGAAAGAUAGAUGUUAAUUCAAAAGUGCAAUAUUUGGCACAGCCUCGUUACUUGUUUUUUGUGUUAUCCCAUUUUUCUUAGAGGCCUUAACAUUGACUGUAGCAUGCUGAAUGAUUCAAUGAUGGAGAUCAGUCUUCCCUGUUGUGGCAACUUUUGUUCCCAUAGUUAUACAUUCCUUGAUUGCACAGAGAUUGAUUUUCUGCUAUCAUUUUCCACUAUUUAGAUUUUCACUUCUUGAAGGAAAGCUUCUUCGUUUACCCCCUUUUGUUGUUAACCAGAAGAAUGCAUUGCUGUCCUGAAAACAUUUUUCUUGUGUUUGCAGGUUAUGGACAUAAAACGUUUAAACAACAUGAUGAGUGAUCAUGGCAUAUACUCGAGGGAGAGGUUACUGAUCCCUGUAAGCAAACCAGAUAUUCUUAUCAAUGCCAUCUGCUACAUAGAGCUGGAUUCCUAUGCAAAAAGGGAAGUAGCGGUGCUGUAUCUGGAAGGUGGGCCUGACAAAAAGCUCAACUCUUUGUUGAAUAAGGUCUCCUCUGAGCAAGGCAGGAGAAGGGUAAUUGAGUCCUUGAAGAGAAGCAUGCAAAUAGAUGAUGGAACUGCCCAAUACUACUUGUCUAUAUCAAAUGGUGACCCUCGAGCUGCAAUCUCAGAAUUCUCUGAAGACCUUAGGUGGGAAAGGCAUGCAGGCCUGUCCUAGUUCAAAAAAAAUAAAUUGUGGAGCUAAGUUAGCUUCUACUGCAGAUUUGUCCGCAUUUUCAUGGGUUUGUGUGUGGUGGCUUUCCUUGCAAUGAUGUCCAUAUUAUUUAUUUUUCUCAAGGGAAUAUAGACUGUAAUUCUAACAUGACGGUUGUGAUCCUAAUGAACGAAGCAAGGAAGUCCCUUGGUGCCAUUUGUCCUGUGUUCAUUCCUUUUACUUUAGCCGAUUUUGUAAAUAUGUGGCUUCUAAAAUGGUUGAUGAAUGUUGUAAAUCAAACACAGAAGGGACCUGUAAUAAUGUUCCAUUUAGUGAACUUUAAACUAUAAGAAUGGAAUUUGUUCCAACUGCACUUGUGAUACUUGUCUGACCAAUGCUUCAAGUAAUGUUGCCAGGUUUAUUUACUGAGCUUAUAAGCCACAAAAACAGGCAUUGGAUUUCAUCUUGCUUCACUACUAGUCAUGGCAGCAGAUCAGCCUAUUGUAUGGGAGCAGCAAAUAACCAAGCUUAUAUGCCAAAGGAUUGGGCCCCUUCUUUGUUUAUCAUAUAUGACAAGCUACAUACAAGGAGUUGAAUGUUUCAACCAGCUAGACAAUGCCAACAAACUCAUGAUCCAUGAAAAGAAAGCCAGCUUUGUUUGGAAUUUGUCCCCAAAUCACAGUUUCCAGGAAGCUCUCUCAGUGGGAAACCUACCUCCAAGGGAGUGUAUCCCUGAUAUUCAUCAGAAGCUCCUCCAAGUUUUAAGGUGACUCCCAAUUGAUUGGGUGGAAUAGGAGAGAGAGAGCGAGAGCGCGGCGGCGAGCGAGAACGUGAUGAAGGGAGAAGGCGAGAAUACGCCGGCGAGGGAGCUGAAGAUAAGGAGGGGCCUUGAAGAAGACGAAGGGGGAACAGGUUCGUAGUGGAGUCCAAGGUGUUCGAGCUUGCGUUAAUAGAGAGAAGAGGAAAACCCCAAAUAUUCAUAGAGGAAAGUAAGGGAGGAGUCUCGUCUUGGGUCAGAGUGGGAGUGGAGAGCUUAGGGUUCCUAAUGGAGGGCUUACACCACUACAUAAUGGACGAGAAAGAAGACAGAUGGGAAAGGGAAUGGAAGGAACAGGGGAAAUCCUACUCUUUGCUACGAAGCCCAAAUAGAGCGGGGUGCUUCCUCCGUCUAGGGGUAACCGACUUGGAACGAAAGCAAUACUGUAUCUACAUCCCAAAAGGUAGAGGAGGAAAAAAGGGAUGGGCUUCAAUGGCGGAAAAUCUACAGCUACUGCGAAGAUCAAUCGACAGAAAGGACAACAUACAAGAAGAAAAGGUCGGUGGAAACUUGGUUGUGAAGAGAACGUUCGCGAAAGUGGUGAAAAGACCGAUCUGCAGAGAUAAAAGCUCAGUUAAGGUGAAGGUAUGGAGGGAGGAAAUCCAUAGAAUCUGGAAAAAUUGGAACAUUGUUUAGUUGGGAGCUGGAACCCUGGGUCAGGCGAUGGAGAAGAUUUGGAGAAAUUGGGGAAAUUUCUGGCGAACUCUUGGGGAUUGAAAGGAAGGUUAGGGUUGGCAAGAUUGGAGAGAAAUAGAAUUUUGUUGGAAUUUGAAUUAUUGGAUGAAGCUCAACGUGCUCUUCUUUCAGGAGAGAGAACGAUGGGAGGGCUUAGGCUGAGAUUUGAGCAUUGGAGUCCAAAGACUGGUUGCAGGGAGGAGGAGGAACAAAGCAAUGAAGUAUGCGUUAGAAUCUUUGAGGUACCAGUCUCGUUGUGGAACCCGACUGUGUUGAGUAGGGUGGGGGAUGAAUGUGGUGGCUUCGUUGCCAUCGAUCCGUAGAUGGCGAAGUUGGAAGAACUCCAAUGGGCUAGGAUUUUGGUUAAGAUGGACGGAGAAGCUAAGCUGAGUAUGUUGGAGAUUGGGGUUGAGGAGGAAGUUUACGCCCUUGUCCUCUAGUGGGAGCUUAGGCCAUCCGUGAAGAAGAUUAGGUUUGACAGUCGAAAAAGUGGGGAGGUUAGGGGUGACAAUUUCUCACGCUCCGGCUCGCGCGUGGAGUUGGAAUCGGUCCUCGAAGUCAGAUGAGGGGACGAGGAUGCAGGAGAGAGGUAUGGGCCGGGAGGUGAUAGCUGAUCGGGCCCAAGAAUCAGCGCCCAUGGGAUCUGUGAGGAGGGCCAGUGGGCUGAGCUCACAAAGAGAAUUUAUGGGCCUAAAGUUAAAGGGAGUGGUGAAUGAAGGUGUUGGGUCAGAGGCUGGGCCAUCCAAGAGAUGGGCUUUUGACGGGAAUGGUUCUAUGCAUGAUGGGGCCAGACCAAUUAAGCCCAUGGCCUAAGAAUUAGUUUUCAAACGGCCCGAGGUGCUGACGUAUUUAGAUAAGGGGUUGGGCUUGCAGGAGAGGAACUUGGGCUGGAAAGGGAUAGCAGACCGAGCCUAGGUGCCAGUGAUUAAGGGCAUAGAGAAGAGAUCAUGUGGGCUGAAUGCAGUGAUGAGCCUAAAACUAAAGGAAGUGGUGGCUAUCUCUGCUGGACUAGAGGCUGGCCAGCCCAAAAGAUGGGCUCAUGAUGGGAGUGGCCCAAUGUCUGAGUUGGAAGGGGCCAGACCAAGUAAGUCCAUGGCCCAAAACAAAGUUAAAAGACCCCAGGAGAAGGAAUGUCUCUUGGAAUGCAGAAUUGCUAGCAAUAGGAGCUUUUCAGAGGGAGAACGCUUAGUUAUUUGGGAAACAGAGGAAAUAAGGAAGAAAAUGGAGAAAGCCAUACUCUCAGCAACAGACAAGGCUCUAGCAGAGGAAGCCAUGAGGUAUGAUUCUGGCCUAAGAAUAGAGGGGAAAAGGGGCUAUGGGUCUUCUCAUCUUAUCCUUUAUUCUUUUGAUCGGGCUCCGGAGAGGGAGUCUUACGAUCACUCUGGGGUGCUAGGGGAAAUAAAUGAAGUUGGACCCGGAGUGGAUGGCAAUGGAUGUUGGGACUUGGUAGAAUUCACUAAGGACAGUAAUUUGGCUAGGGGGGUGGAGUGGGAUUCAGAGAUGACAAAGCCUCAAGAGAUCAGGAGUGAGAAAUAGGACAGAUGGGAGGAAAGUAGCUUGGCGAAGUUUAGUCACUUUUUAGGAGAAAGAGACGAGAAAGAAUUCAUAGCAAAGAAUUGAUGGAGAAGUCAAAAUUUGAAAGGGAAUUGAAGAGGCUAGAGUGCUCAGUUAAUUAUGAGAAGGGGAAUAAACAAAAAGGCCCUUCACAGACAAAUGGGAUCAAAUUGCAAUAGAUUAAUGAAGCUAAAGUUGUUAAGUUGGAAUGUGAGGGGGGCAAAUGACAGGUCCAAAAGGAAAAUUAUCAAGACAUUCAUAAGGAAUAAAAAAGUUGACUUACUGUGUAUUCAGGAGAUAAAAAUUUAGCCAAUGUCGGAGGGGGUGGUGAGAAGUUUAGGCUUGGGAAGAUUCUUAGAUUGGAGGGCCUUGGAUGCGGAUGGGACAGCGGGAGGUCUGUUGAUUUGCUGGGAUAAAAAAUCGCUGGAAAUUGUGGAUUGGGAGGAGGGCCAGUACUCUCUAUCUUAUAGAUUCAAGAAUGUGGAAGAUGAAAUUGUCUAGGUGUUUACGGGAGUCUAUGGUCCUUUCACUAAAGAGAAAAGAGAAUGUUUGUGGGAAGAGAUUGGAGUUGUAAGAGGAAUUUGGGACGAGCCUUGGUGCUUAGGGGGCGACUUUAAUAUUACCCUAUUUCAAAGAGAAAAAAGCAGACAAGGGAGAAUAACUCCGACCAUGAUGAGGUUUGCUUAUAUUAUUGAUGACCUAAGGUUGGUAGAUUUUCCGUUGCAAGGGGGAGUGUUUACUUGGAGCGGGGGCCUUAACAACCAGUCUUGGGCAAGACUGGACAGGUUUUUGGUGUCUCCUAGUUGGUUAGAUCAGUUCAAUGGGGUGCUUCAAAGAAGACUGCCUUGUCCUGUUUCUAACCACUUCCCCAUUCUUCUAGAAGGGGGCGAGCUAAGGAGAGGUCCUUCUCCUUUCAAGUUCGAAAACCUGUGGCUAAAGGUUGAGGGUUUUUUAGACCUUAUCUGAAAUUGGUGGAGGAGGAUUGAGGUAAGAGGCACUACUAGCUAUAGAUUGGCAGCAAAGAUGAAAUAGAUCAAACAAAAACUAAAGGUUUGGAAUAGAGAGGUCUUUGGAAAUCUGGAAGGCAAUAAAAGUUCAGCUUUGCAGCAAAUGGAUUUUUGGGACCGUGUGGAAAGUGAAAGAAGCUUGUCUUUGGAGGAGACAAAAUUAAAAAAGGAAGCAAAUGAAAGCUAUAAAAAAUGGGUCCUUUUGGAAAAAAGUCAUUGGAGACAACUCUCAAGGGAGAUAUGGCUUAAGGAAUGGGAUAAAAAUACUGGAUUUUUUCAUCAGGUGGCAAAUGCCCACUGUAACAAUAACUUCUUGGACAUAAUUAAAGUUGAUGGGGUUUGGCUCUUAGAGGAGCAGGAAGUAAAGGAAGGGAUUGCUAAUGCUUAUCAGCAGAUGCUCUUUGAAGACUCGGGGUGGAAGACGGAUAUUGUGAGGAUUCAAUUAGAUCAUAUCAGCCAGCAAGAAGCAGAGAAUCUUGAGAUUCUGUUUUCUGAAAAUGAGAUCCAUUCAACCUUGAUAGAGAUGAAUGGGGAUAAAGCCCUUGGGCUGGAUGGUUUUACUAUGGCGUUUUGGCAAAGUAGUUGGGAUUUUGUGAAAGGGGAGAUCUUGGAGAUAUUUAAGAAGUUUCAUGAGCAAAGCUCCUUUCUCAAAAAUCUCAAUAAUACUUUCCUGGUUCUAAUUCUUAAGAAAGGGGGGGGGGGGGGGGGGGGUUGAUCUUGGGGAUUUUAGACCCAUUAGUCUCUUUGGGGGGAGGGGCUAUACAAAUUGCUGGCUAAAGUGUUAGCUAAUAGACCCAAGAGAGUGUUAAGCAAAGUGGUAGCCCCAACCCAGAAUGCAUUUAUGAUGGGAAGACAAAUCCUUGAUGCUUCUUUAAUUACGAAUAAAGUGAUAGACUCGUGGCAGAAAAGAAAAGAGAAAUGGCUCAUAUGUAAAUUGGAUAUUGAGAAAGCGUACGAUAGCAUCAACUGGCAGUUUUUGUUGAAGACUUUACACAAAAUGGGAUUUGGCUCAAAGUGGUUGGGUUGGAUGUGGAGUUGUUUAUCUUCAGCUAAGUUUUCAGUUCUAGUUAAUGGGGUUCCAGCUGGAUUUUUCCCGAGUUCUAAAGGGCUUCGUCAAGGGGAUUACUUAUCUCCUUACCUCUUUGUUCUAGGAAUGGAAGUUCUAGAUGCCCUAAUUAGGAGGGCGGUUGCUGGCGGCUACCUCUCAGGAUGCAGUAUUCAGGGUGAUAGAAGACACAAUCUAAAAAUCUCUCAUCUUUUCUUUGCUGAUGAUACAAUUGUGUUCUAUGAGGCUAAUAAAGAGCAUCUAACACAUUUAAGCUGGAUUCUUUUGUGGUUUGAAGCAACUUCAAUGCCUAAGGAUUAAUUUGGACAAAAGUGAAAUUAUCCCAGUUGGUGUGGUGGAGGAGAUUGAGGAGAUGGCAGUGGAAUUAGGGUGUAGGGUGGGCUCGUUGCCUUCUCAAUACUUGGGCUUGCCAUUAGGGGCUCCUAACAAAGCUCAUUUUGUUUGGGAUGGGGUGGAAGAGAAAGUGAGGAGGAGACUAGCACGGUGGAAACGACAAUAUAUCUCCAAAGGUGGGAGAAUCACUCUCAUAAAGAACACCUUGGCUAGCAUGCCAAUCUAUCAUAUGUCUCUUUUCCAGAUGCCUAAGUCAGUUGCUAGAAGAUUAGAAAAAGUUCAAAGAAAUUUCCUUUGGGGAAGGGGAAGCGUGGAAAGGAAAGCUCAUCUAAUUAAGUGGGAGAUGAUUUGUGCAGACAAGAACAAGGGAGGGCUAGGCUUAAGGAAGCUAGUACUCUUGAACAAAGCUUUGCUUGGUAAAUGGAUUUGGAGAUUCGCUUGUGAUAAAGAUAAUCUUUGGAAGCAAGUGAUAACGAUGAAAUAUGGGCAAGAAGGUCAUGGUUGGAGAGCAAAGAGGGCUUAUGGGGCGUUUGGAGUAGGGGUGUGGAAGGAAAUUUUGAAGGAAACUGAAUGGUGCUGGGACAACAUGGGGUUCUUAGCUGGGAAGGGAAGCCGAAAUUAAUUUUUGGACUGAUGUUUGGUGUAAUGGUACAAGGCUGUCCCAAAAUUUCCCUCAUCUAUUCGCUAUGGCUUCCCAUAGGAAUGCUACGGUAGAGGAAAUGUGGGAUCAGAAUUUCGGUCAAGGGGUUGGAAUCUAAGAUUUUUGAGGGAUUUUAAUGAUUGGGAGUUGGAUAUGAUAGGGGAUUUGCUCCAUGCUCUGAGGAGUUACAAGUCUUCUAUGGAGGAAGAUUCAGUUUGCUGGAAGGGAGGAAAUAAUGGAAAGUUUAGGGUCAAAGAAGCGUAUAGAUUGUGGGUCAGUACCAAUGAUAUUGUUUUUCCGUCAAGAUGCAUUUGGGUAGAUUCAGUUCCAACCAAGGUUGCAUUCUAUGCUUGGGAGGCUACAUGGGGGAGGGUGCUCACUUUUGAUAGGCUCCAGAAAAGAGGAUGACAGCUUUCUAAUUGUUGCUUUCUGUGUGGAUGUGAAGAAGAAACUGUAAAUCAUAUACUUAUUCACUGUAUAGUGGUCAGAGUACUGUGGAAUAUUGUCCUUGGGUUAUCAAGUGUGUAGUGGGUCUUUCUAGAAACUGUAAAGGAGGUCUUAACUGGCUGGAGAGACCCUUUUGUGGGAAAGAAAAGGAAAAAGAUAUGGAAGUCCAUACCGUUGUGUAUUUUUUGGACGGUUUGGAAGGAGAGGAAUAGACUAGCUUUUAGAGGGGGAGUGUUAGAUAUUCAAAAGCUUAAGAAUUCUUUUGUUUGUAGUUUGUGGAGUUGGGCUAGAUUAUAUAUUGGAGAGGAGCAUCUAUCCCUUAUAGGGUUCUUGGAAUGGUUAGCGUCCAAUUAAGGGGUGGUGAGACUUUGUUGGUCCUCUUUUUGUUUUGAGAGGUGGUAGUUGCUUUGUAUACCCCCUGUAUACUUUGUAACUUUCCGUCUCUAUUUUAAUACAAUUUGCUUUACUUAUCAAAAAAAAAAGUUUUAAGGCGACUCCCUAUCCCUUGAGCAGUUUCUAUAUAUAACUUACGUUAGUUGUGGAGAAUUUUACCUGUACCAUCUAAGAAUAGGUUUUGCCUUGUUUCUGUAACUUACAAAUAAAACCCCUUCACCCAAUUACUCCUCAUGUUUUCUUUUGUUGCUUCAUUCUGAUUCUGAUAUGGUCUCUUUAGUAACUUUCAUCUAAACCGAAAUGAAAAGAGAAUAUAUUAAACUCAAGUCAAUUCAAUGUUGCACCUCAUUCCCCACAUGCAACUGUGCUUUACAGCAGUUGUGCUGAGGCAAUGCUUGUAUUCCAAGCAUAUAUUCCUAGCCCACUCAAGGUCUUGGAUUAAACAGAAAGGGUCUGGUUGGAGUUGGUAGAUAUACAGUUAGAAUCUUCUUGUUCUACUUAUAUAUGUAAACAAAAAUAUGUCAUAUACCAAGCCAUGACAAUAUAUUAAACAAAAAAGAGAGAAUGAAGCAGUGGGUGGGAGUUGGUUUGCAAGUGACUUUUUAGGUUGUGUUUUUGGGGUUGCUGUUGGAUGGCCUAGGGUCUAAGUGUUCGGCUUUCCAAAGAGUGGAUGAGGUAGUAGUGAGUUCCUUUGGUUUGUUACUCACCCAAGUGUUUGUAAAGUCUGGAGUUUUUCUGGGUUGUAGGGUGAAGUCUUUUGUUUUGGGUAUUGGUUUGUUGUUUCUCUUUCCUUUUACUUGUAUUUGCCUGCCACUUGUACACUACGUGUGUACUUUCUGCGCCUUUUUCAAGCACUUUUAAUAUAUUUGCUUUAUUUACCUAUCAAAUAUAUAUAUAUUAAACAAAAUAUGAUGUUCUAAGAUAUGAAACCAAUUAUAAAUGGUAUGAAUGGCAUCCCAAGAUCAACAAAUACACUAUGCUCCUUUCUUUUUUUGCUUGUGUUUAUUUUGGUUUUCAUUAAUUUAUGUAGAAUUCUUUGCACGGUUGGGAGAUUGUUCAGAAUGUUUAGAAGAAAUAAUAUGUAAAUCCAAUAAUUAAAAUUAUCUCAACCUAAUCCAAUAUAAAAGAUCACAAAAUCCAGUAAAAAAAUGUUAUAUACCAAGCCAUGACAAUAUAUAUUAAACUAAAUAUAAUCUUCUAAGAUACGAAACCAAUUAUUAAUGGUAUAAAUGGCAUCCCAAGAUCAACAAAUACAUUACUCUCCUUUCUUUUUUGCUUGUGUUUAUUUUUUAUUUGAUGCAGCUUAAGUCUACAUGGUGCAGGGAGCAAUACUAUGAAUUGAUUUAUUCAUCUAUUUGGUUUUCAUUAGUUUUUGUAGAAUGCUUUGCAUGGUUGGGAGAUUGUUCAGAUGUUUAGGAGAAACAAUAUGUAAAUAGAAUAAUUAGAAUUAUUUCAACCUAAUCCAAUGUAAGGAUCAUAAAACCUAGACUGACCCCACCUAUUAAAUAAUGCUCUCAUGGCUGCCCCUUAGUUAUACUUUUUUUUUUUUUGAUAGAUAAGAAGAUAAAUAUAUUAGAAAGGGCUGCCAAAAGAGCAACCCAUAGUUGUUAUAUUACAUAUUAAACAAUGCUCUUAUGGCUGUCCCAUAGUUGUUAUACUACACAUUAAAUAAUGCUCUUAUACCUGUCCCAUAGUUAUACUACUAGCAGGUCAAAUGUAGGUUUAGCAACUAGCAUAUUUCAUAUUAGCAGAAAUAAAUUGCAGAUUCUAAGAGAUAUAUGAUAUAAUUUUGUUGAGUAAAGGAAAAGAAAACAAUGAAAAAGGGUAUACUGUUAGCACAUUUACCAUUUCAUAAUGCUAAUGCUGAUCAUCAAGAGGUAGAAAAAUAGAACUUCAUGUGAAACUGGUCAUGCUUAGCUUCUGGUCCACCAUUUUAUUGUUAGUUGUCACCUUCCAUAACAAGUUAAGACUGUUAGUUGAUACAGUGAAAACUCAACUUUGGUCACAUUGACCAGAUUCAAAUUCUACGAGCUUGUGCUUGUGAUAAGUAUCAAAUUAAAGAUUAGAACACGUCACUUGAUGGUGCCAGUUUUUUUUUUGUUUUUUCACGCAUGUUCAUAUGCACCAGGUCAAGUUCACACUAGAUUAUCUAAUACUCAUUUUCUAUUUUGAUGCUUGUUUUACAAGUUCUUCUAAUGACUAGAUGGUAGUUUUGAGAGGAAGAAAAUCUUGCCUUUGAUAGAAGUAGAACCAAUGUUUUAUGCAUUUAAACUCCUGGUAUAUUGGAAAUUAUUAGGUGCUGGGUUAGGAUCCUCAUUAGAGAUAAGAAGACUUUAUUUCCACUUGUAUUGAACACUAUUAUAUUCAAAAUCCAGACCUCAAUGCUUACGUGGAUUUCGGAUUUCAUAAUGAAGUUAUUGAAUUCAGGUUAGGCAGGAUUAGGUUUGUUUCAACCUUAUACAUGAUGGAAACCAAUGAACUUAAUUGAAUAGAUGGAGUUGGACUUAAGUUGGCUUGACAUCCCAUGUGGAAUCCUUAGCUUUAAGUUGGUCAAGAAAAGCCAUCACCCGUAGGCCUUGUCCCAAUGGGCAAUUUCUAUUGACUUUCUUACUUACCCAGCAGGAAGGUCAUGUUUGAAUUGUUGGAAUAGUGGGCCAUGUCCCAAUUGGCAAUUUCUAUUGACUUUUCUUACUUACCUAGCAGGAAGGUCAUGUUUGAAUUGUUGGAAUAGAGGAUGGGGAGGUGAAAAUCAGCUCUAUCUAUUAUAUCUUUUUGAGCUUUAAUCCUAACACCCCUCACAUACAACAUCUCUAGAUUGAAUAGAUUGAAUUAAAUUUGAGUUGGCUUGGCAGCCCAUGUAUGCCCUUCAGCCCUGAAUUGGUCAAGAAAAGCCAUCACACAUUGUCUCACUCUGCAAUUGGGAGAUGAUAUCUUUGCCCAUAUGUUCUAAUAGGAAUAAAAUAUUGUGAUUGUUGUGAUUUCUUACAUGAUUAUCUACCAUUCUGAAUUGAUCAUUAGGAAGACCACUUCCCACAACCAACUUCAUCUUUCUGGUAUGGGUCAAUUUGAAGGUCUUAAGGAAUGGGUCCAAGCCUGGAAAUUGGAAACCCUAGCACAAGUUGCAGGAUAAGGAUGAGAAAGACAAGUCAAUAUGAAAAUGGAAACUGGGUUUUUCCUGAAUCGCUUAACAAAAAAGAAAGUGACCACCAAUUUCAUGUUGAAUUGGAGCAUUUCUUAAAGUGGGGUUCAUUCAGAAGAUGCAAAGUCUAUGGGAAUAAUGACGUAGUGUGGUGUUCAAGAAAGUGACAGCAUAUGUGUUUCUUGAACCCUAAGUUUACACGGAAAGGUUUAUUUUGGUGUGGAAUUGGGCUUUUUUUUUUGGCGGAAAACUGGGUUUUCAUUUCUAAAAUUUCCAUAAUUCUAAGUUUACUUUUAGAUUUUGAAAAUUUUUAAGUCUUAAAAAGAGUUUAAAGAAAAUAAGAUAAUUUUCUACUUUUUAUUUAAGAGUUUUUUUAUUUUAUGUAAAAAUUUAUUUUUAAAAAUAAGAAAAAAAAAUCUAGAUAGUUAAUGUUUUUUUUUUAAAAAAAUUGUUCGGUAAUUUUAAGUAUUUACGUCUUAACUUUUAAAAGAAUGAAUUAUUUUUAUAAGAAAAGAAUAAGAUCAUUUUUGUUAAAAUAUAGUAAAAAAAAUGACGGAGGAAUAGUUAGAUUUUCAAAAUUGGGUUUUCAAUUACCCUUUUAAUCAAAUAAUCCAUAUAUAUAUAUAUAUAUAUAUAUAUAUAUAUGAUGAAAAUUAAUUAACUAAAAUGGUCGAAUUAAAACGUUCAACAUUUGCUAAUUUGGUGGAAAUAUUAAUAAAAAAUAGACCAUUGAUUUGUUUAUCGAAGCAAGAAAAAAAAAACACUUCAUACAUUCGAAUGAGAAAGGAAAUUACCUAAAAUGUUCGAAUUGAAAAGCUACACCAUUUGCUAAUUCGGUGAAAAUAUUUGCUAAAUCGGUGAAAAUAUUAAUGAAAAAUAGACAAUUGAUUCAUUUUAUCAAACCAAAAAAAAAUAAAAAACGCGUCAUUUCAUACAUUUUCAUGAGAAAGAAAAAUUAGUCAACUAAAAUGGUCGAAUUAGAAAGCUACACCAUUUGCUAAUUGAUUCGGUAUACCAAAGUAAGAAAAAAAAACACUUCAUGCAUUUUCUUGAUUUUCUCAUGUACCCUAUGAUAAUAUGGAAAAUUAUUUCAUAAACUCAUUUUAUAUAUAUCACAUUUUUUUUUUCACUUAUUAAACAAAAAAAAUACAAAUGUUGGUUUUGACUUAAAUUUUGGCUUGGAAGUUAAUUUGGUUACAUGAAAAAUAUUAAAAUAUUUUUGAAAAAGGAAAAUUUUCAUAUUGAACAUGAAUUAAUUGAAUGAAUCAUGGAUUCAUGAUAUUAUUAAGUUAUUAACUAAAAAUUGCAAUAAUUGAGAAAUUCUUGAAUAGUUUGUUUGAAGUCACAUUCUAGACUUCUAGGGUUUAAGAUUUUCUUGGAAUUUGGGUGGUUUCUUUACCCUCAAGCUAUGCCAUGACCAUAUUUGCCUGAUUCAAUAAAUUGAAAACAAAUGAAGGAAAUAAAAAGAUUAUAAAAAGCCCAUUAAAAUUGGACCAAUACUAAAUUAAUUGCAUACCUUGUUUGAAUAUUGUGCUACUAUACUAUUUUUUAUGAACAAGAGGAAAUGACAAUUAUGAACAUGGAUGUAAAUAAAAUAAAAUACAUAUUUUAAUAUAAUUUUAUUAUUUUUAAUCAUAUUUUUUAUUUAAAUAAUUGUUUUACUAUUUUUCUCGCUACAUUACUAAAUUGGUAUCCAAUAAAAGGAGAAUCGAUCACGACAUGCGUUGCUCUCGUUGUUUCGUACCUAAUUUGUAUCUUCAAUCUUAUUUAUUUAUACUUAUUUCAUUAAAUAUACCUUGAUCUUAUAUAUUUAUACUCUUAUCCAAUCACUUAAAUUUUAUUAUGUAUCUUCAACGAUUGAAAUUAUGCAUUCAGAAGGUACUAGUUUGGUACUUACGAAUUUUCAUUAUUUUUAAAACAAAAGGUAAAUUGAUGUUUGGUAAGAUGAAACAAACCAAAAAAGAAAAAGGAAAAAAAAAGAGAAAAGAAUAUGCCAAAGACAAGAGACAAAAGCAUGAUUCCAAUUCCAAAAGGGUUGAAAGAUUUAAUCAUGUUUCUUAUCCACAUAACUAUUUUACUAUUUUUCUCGCUACAUUGUCGAAUUGGUAUCUAGUGAAAAGAGAAUCGAUCACAACAUGUAUUGGUCUCGUUGCUUUGUACUUAAUUUGUGUUUCAUUAUUUUAUACCUUAGUUUGUUUUUUUUUUUUUUUUGCACUUCAAUCUCAUUUAUUUAUAUUUAUUUCAUUAAAUGUACAUUGAUCUCAUAUACUUAUACUCUCGUUUAAUAACCUAAAUUUUAUAAUAUCUUCAAUGAUGAACUUUCAACGAUUGAAAUUACGUGUUCAGAAGGUACUUAAUCGGUACUUGUGAAUUUUCAUUAUUUGUAAAGCAAAAGGUAAAUUCAUAUUUGGUAUGCAUGAUGUGCAAACAUGUUUUAUAAAGCCAAAAAAAAAAAAAAAAAUGCCAAACAUGGGACUAAAGCAUAAUUCCCAUUCCAAAAGGGCUAGAGAUAUAAAGUUUGGAACUUGUUAUAUCAAGGCUGUACUAUGUAAGACCCACCAAAGCAGCCAUGUGAUGAAUAAGUGACAACUCCUUCAUUUAUGAUAAAAUAAAGACACCAAUUCAAAUAAAUAAAUAAAUAAAAUAUAAUAUACAUAAGAGGUAAUGCAUUAGAAGAAUGGAGGGAUCAAGAAAGGCAGCCCAACCAGCCAAUGGAAAAUAGUCAAAAUACCUAGUCUAUUCCUCCAUUUUUGGCCUUCAAUAAACCCUAGAUUCCCUCCCUCCACCCCACACCUUUUUCUUUUUAUUUUUUAAUUUAUUUAUUUAUGAUUAUUUUUAGUCUAAUUAUCUAUAAAAUAACAAUAACCCACAUUAGAAAUCAUUUUUUUUUUCUUCUUCUGUAUCUUAAUUAGCUGAAAUUUAGAAAUUACCCAUAUGUUUUUUUUAUUAAAAAAAAAAAAACCUUUCUUGACUGAAGUUUCUAAAAAUAACAACCAUGUAUAUAUUAUUAAUUCUAUUUUUUAAAGAAGGAAAAGGAAAGUUUCUGAAUAGAAAAAGAGAAGCUUCUCAGAUAUUUCAUGUUUGAUUUUAGGCAUUUUAUACGCGUAUGUUUAUGUCUAUAAAUACAUGCACCACCUGAGCUUUUCUUCAUAUAUUCUUCUCCUGCAUCCCUCUUUCUCUCAUAUUCUUGGCUUUCUUUUGCUUUGCUGUUGUUAUUGUUGUUGUUGUUGUUGUUGUUGUUGAAGAAGAAGAAGAAGAAGAAGAGAUGAUUCAUUCAAUUGUUGGUGCCAUUACUGGCGAAAAUGAUAAGAAGAAGAUCAAGGGAACUGUUGUGUUGAUGAAGAAGAAUGUGUUGGAUUUUAAUGACUUCAAUGCAUCGGUUCUGGACCGGGUUCAUGAGCUGUUGGGACAGGGAGUCUCUCUGCAGCUCGUCAGUGCUGUUCAUGGUGAUCCUGGUGAGUUUUUUAUUUUAUUUUAUUUUUUUAUUUUUUUUCAUGUUUUUGAUGAUGGGGUUAUUGAAGUUGGAGGAGAGGAGAAUGAUGCCGUUUUGUGAGGGGUGAGAUGGGUUUUGAGUUUUGAUGAUGGGAGUUGGAAGAAGAUGUGUUUUUUGGAAGAGGUCAAGAGGGGUUAUUCUCAGAAAUUGAGUCAAUGAGUUUCUUGACAUCUUCCAUUCAACUGGGCACUUUUCUAACUGCUUUUGUUUUUUGUGUUUUGUUUUUAAUGCUUUUGUUUUCUACUUCUUUCUCUUGUUUAUAUUUCUUUUCAUCAACCACUAUACAUGCCCACCUAACUCAAUAUGAAAUUCCCAUGCAGCUGCCCUUUUUUUUAAGCCACUAGAUCUUGGGUGAUUUUUUAGUCUUAGAUCUUGGGUUAGAUUUCCCCAGAUUUCACAAAAGUUGAAACUGAAAUUCAUAAAAUUUUUGAGGAUCACUCCUGUUGGAGUUAAAGAGAAAGAAUUGCCAUAAACCAAGGAGAUGAAUUGUUGUGAAAUAUUUCUCAAAACUUCAUCAUCAAAUACCUGCCAAAACAGCCACAGUUUCUGAAAUUUCAUGCAGCAAAGCCACUGCUGCUUGUAGCAAGUCCAAGCUCAAACAUAAAAGCCUUUUCAACCCAGUGAUUUUUGAGAAUAACAUGUAAAAAUGCAGUGACCAUCUGUUAGUGAUGAUAUUGAACUUGUGUGCCUUUUGUAGCAAAUGGGUUACAGGGGAAACUUGGGAAACCAGCAUACUUGGAAGACUGGAUUACCACAAUUACUUCUUUAACCGCUGGCGAGUCUGCAUUCAAGGUCACGUUCGACUGGGAUGAGGAGAUUGGAGAGCCAGGGGCAUUCAUAAUUAGAAACAAUCACCACAGUGAGUUUUACCUCAGGACUCUCACUCUUGAAGAUGUUCCUGGACGUGGCAGAAUUCACUUUGUUUGUAAUUCCUGGGUCUACCCUGCUAAGCACUACAAAACUGACCGUGUUUUCUUCACUAAUCAGGUAAGACUAAUUUGCUUGAUACUAGGAGAGUCUGCUGUGGCAUUGUGGCCCAUUGAGCUUAGGCAAGGAGAAUUGUCUGCUAAAGGAAUGUGUUUAUUUUAUCUGCUGCAGACAUAUCUUCCAAGUGAAACACCAGGGCCACUGCGCAAGUACAGAAAAGGGGAACUGGUGAAUCUGAGGGGAGAUGGAACCGGAGAGCUUAAGGAAUGGGAUCGAGUGUAUGACUAUGCUUACUAUAAUGAUUUGGGGAAGCCAGACAGGGAUCUCAAAUAUGCCCGCCCUGUGCUGGGAGGAUCUGCAGAGUAUCCUUAUCCCAGGAGGGGAAGAACUGGUAGACCACCAUCUGAAAAAGGUAGAUAUUUGAUACACAAAUUCAUAUUGUUUUCUCAUGCUUUUAUCAUAAAAGGAUGAAUAUGAUUGAUUUCUGCUCUUCUUUUAAUUAACAGAUCCCAAAACUGAGAGCAGAUUGCCACUUGUGAUGAGCUUAAACAUAUAUGUUCCAAGAGAUGAACGAUUUGGUCACCUGAAGAUGUCAGACUUCCUGGCUUAUGCCCUGAAAUCCAUAGUUCAAUUCCUUCUCCCUGAGUUUGAGGCUCUAUGUGACAUCACCCCCAAUGAGUUUGACAGCUUCCAAGAUGUAUUAGACCUCUACGAAGGAGGAAUCAAGGUCCCAGAGGGCCCUUUACUGGACAAAAUUAAGGACAACAUCCCUCUUGAGAUGCUCAAGGAACUUGUUCGUACCGAUGGGGAACAUCUCUUCAAGUUCCCAAUGCCCCAAGUCAUCAAAGGUACUGCAUACAUCUAACAUCUUGUAAUCUUUGAAGCCAGAUUUAUAUAUUUAUUUUUCAUAAAAUUGAUGACGUUUUUAUCAUGCUGGAGCAGAGGAUAAGUCUGCAUGGAGGACUGACGAAGAAUUUGCUAGAGAAAUGCUGGCUGGACUCAACCCAGUUGUCAUCCGUCUACUCCAAGUAAACUACAGCUUCCUUUCAAAUAAUUUUUAAUGCCCUGUUUGUUUUCUGAGAAAAUGGAACUUGGAAAGGCUUCCAGACUUUGUUUUCUUUCCCUCCAUCUACUGUUCUAGCUCUUUUCUGAUAAUUAUUGGCUCUUUCUACUUUGUUUGAAGGAGUUUCCUCCAAAAAGCAAGCUGGAUCCUGAAGUUUAUGGCAACCAAAACAGUUCAAUAACCAAAGAACACAUAGAGAAUCACCUGGAUGACCUUACUAUAAACGAGGUAACGCUCUUAGGUUCCGUUCUUUCAAACUAAAUUUUUCAAUGUCGACAUGUUAAUUUUUUGCAUUGGAACACAAGCCAUAGUAACUGAAAAAUGGUGCUUUUUACUAGGCAAUGGAGAAGAAGAGGCUAUUCAUAUUAGAUCACCAUGAUGUUUUCAUGCCAUACCUGAGGAGGAUAAACACAACUUCCACGAAAACUUACGCCUCAAGGACUCUCCUCUUCCUGAAAGACGACGGAACUUUGAAGCCACUGGCGAUUGAAUUGAGCCUACCACAUCCUAAUGGGGAUAAAUUCGGAGCUGUCAACAAAGUAUACACACCAGCUGAAGAUGGCGUUGAAGGUUCCAUUUGGCAGCUGGCUAAAGCUUAUGCUGCUGUGAAUGACUCUGGCUAUCAUCAGCUCCUCAGCCACUGGUACGUAAUCUCCCAAAGGAAAGUGCGUACAGUUGGGGCGUAAAUCUGAAGCGGGUUAUGAAUAUCUUUGAUGUUGGUUGCAGGUUGAAUACACAUGCUGCAAUUGAGCCAUUUGUGAUUGCAACCAACAGGCAGCUCAGUGUGCUUCACCCAAUUCACAAGCUUUUGCAUCCUCACUUCCGUGAUACGAUGAAUAUAAAUGCAUUAGCUCGACAAAUCCUCAUCAAUGCUGGUGGAGUGGUGGAGAGCACAGUUUUUCCAUCAAAGUAUGCCAUGGAAAUGUCAUCUGUUGUUUACAAAGACUGGGUUCUCACUGAGCAAGCACUUCCUGCUGAUCUCAUCAAGAGGUAUAUAAAUACUGUUAGUGAUUGUUUUCUUUCCUGCUGUGCAAUGAAUCUAGUGAAAAUUGUGAUUUUCAUCUAACUGAUAUGCUCCAACUUGGGCACUCUUUCAGAGGAAUGGCGGUUGAGGAUUCAGAGGCCCCUCAUGGACUCCGCCUACUGAUAGAUGACUACCCCUAUGCUGUUGAUGGACUUGAGAUCUGGUCAGCUAUUGAGACAUGGGUGAAAGAGUAUUGCUCAUUCUACUACAAGACAGAUGAGAUGGUCCAGAAAGACUCUGAGCUUCAGUCCUGGUGGAAGGAAGUCAGGGAAGAGGGUCAUGGCGACAAGAAGGACGAGCCUUGGUGGCCUAAAAUGCGUACUGUCAAAGAGCUGAUAGAAACAUGCACCAUUAUCAUCUGGGUGGCUUCUGCUCUCCAUGCUGCAGUGAAUUUCGGGCAGUACCCUUAUGCAGGCUACCUCCCAAACCGCCCAACGAUAAGCCGCAGAUUCAUCCCUGAAGAAGGCACUCCUGAGUAUGAAGAACUCAAGUCCAAUCCUGAUAAGGCUUUCCUGAAAACAAUCACUGCCCAGCUGCAGACCCUUCUUGGCAUCUCCCUUAUUGAGGUCCUUUCCAGGCAUUCUUCCGAUGAGGUUUAUCUUGGACAGAGAGACACUCCUGAAUGGACCCUGGACACAACACCAUUGAAAGCUUUUGAGAAAUUCGGAAGGAAGCUGGCAGACAUUGAAGAAAUGAUCAUAGAUAGAAAUGGAAAUGAGAGAUUCAAGAACAGAGUUGGGCCUGUGAAGAUACCAUACACACUGCUCUACCCCACAAGCGAAGGUGGGCUUACUGGCAAAGGGAUUCCCAACAGUGUCUCCAUCUAAAUUUUCCUGGAAAAUCAUGAGCACACUGCUGAUCAAGAUGGCUUAAAUGCACAUUGCUAAUAUAGUAUACUGUAAUUUAUAAUACCUAUUUUUCGACUUUGUAGGAUUCAUAUUGAUGCAUAUAUUUAUAAUAAGGAAUUAUUUAUUGCUAGAAAAUUGGGAGCUUUUCACUUUUUUUAUGAUCUGUGCCACACUUAAUGUUAAAAGAUGAAGGUGAAGUAGCAAAACAGUUGAUCUGAAUGCGCAGCCAUUGAUAUCAGGAAUCAAAGUCAGAUGGUGCAAAUGCUCUCAAAACAUCCACCCUCCCACAAAAUUAUCUAUAAUUUACAUGUUAACAAGAACUCAAGAGUGAGUAAGAAACUAUGUUGAGAAAUACUUUCUGAAACCACUGAGGAAAGUGUCCAUUUGAAGAAGUGUGAGACUCUUACCUAAGAAGUGUCUGUAGAUUUGAAUAGUAACUGCCAAUAUCUCUAUCAAAUCUUUAUUAUUACAUGUAUUAGAUUUUGAUAUGAUGCUUGGAUAGUAUGCCUAUAAACAAAUGCAUCCCCGAGCUUCUUCUUUGUAUAUUCUUCUGCUCUCACAUUCUUGGCUUUCUUCUGCUUAGCUUUGUUGUUGUUGUUGAAGAAGAAGAGAUGUUUGUUCAAUUGUUAGUGCCAUUACUGGUAAAAAUGAUAAGAAGAAGACAAGGGAGCAGUUGUGCUGAUGAGAAGAAUGUGUUGGAUUUAAUGACUUCAAUACAUCGGCUCUGGACCGGGUUCAUGAGCUCUUAGGACAGGGAGUCUCUCUGCAGCUAGAAUUUUGACUCGUGUAGACAGACAUAGAAUCAAACUGAAUUUAUUGAUCAUUACAUAAUUGGAUUAAGAGCUAUAUAUUCUUCUUGUUGAUCAACAGUUAUCUUCAAGGGGUAGAAAAACAUAACUUCAUGUGUGACUGGUCAUGUUUAGCUUCUGGUCCACCAUUUCAUUGUUAGUUGUCACCUUCCAAAACUAAGUGAAGACUGGCAGUUGAUACAGUGAAAACUUCACAUGCUCGCACUUCACUCUUCACACUAGCUUAUCUACUACUCAUUUUCUACUUUGAUAUCAUCUUGGUUUUCAAGUCUUCUAAUGACUAGAUUGCAAUUUCAAGAGGAAGAAAAUCUUGCCUUUGAUGAAGCCUGUUUUCAGCCUUUUAAGUAUUAAGUUGUUUGUUUUUGUAAUAUUUUGUUUAUAUUAAAUAUUAAAAAAAUAAAGAAAAAGCAAAAUAUUUGAUUUUUUUUUUCUAUUUAGCCAAAAACUAAUAAUAAGUCAUGAAAAAAAUGGAAAAACAAACAAUGUAAAGUUUGAAAGCAAAUUACUUUCAGCAAAAGAUUAAAAAAACAAAUACCCUCGAAGUUCGACUUAAGUUGGCUUAACAUCGAUCUCAUGUAGACCGGGAUCCUUAGCUGGCCCAUGGCCCAUAUCCCAUGUCCUAAUUGGCAAUUUUUAUUGACUUUCUUACAUUCCUUGCACUAAGGUCAUGUUUGAAACGUUGGAAUAAAGAAUGGGAAGGGAAAAUCGAUUCUAUCUAUUAUAUUUUUCAUUCAUUCAUGUGUUCGGAUUGUUCUUAAGAACGAAAAUAAUAAAAAAAUUCACUAUUAUGGAAAUCAAAUGCUACUCUCAUUAGGAUUUUUAUUCCUCUUUUCUAAAUGCCAAACGUGUCUAAAUUGAAUAGAUUGAGUUAAAUUUGAGUUGGCAUGGCAGCACAUGUAUGUCCUUUAGGCUGAGUAGGUCAAGAAAAGCCAUCUCACAUUGUCUCACCAAGCAAUUGUGAGAUGAUAUCCUUACCCAUAUGUUCUAAUAGGAAUAAAAUAUUAUGAUCAUUGUGAUUUAUUACAUGACUAUCUACCAUUCUGAAUUGAUUGUUAGGAAGAGCACUUCCAACAACCAACUUCAUCACUUUGGUAUGGUCAAUUUGAAGGUCUUAUGGUUUGGAAAUUGGAAAUCCUAUAUAAAAAUUUUAUUUUUAAAAAUAAAAAAUAAAAAAUAAAUCAAAAUAGUUAUUUUAAAAAUAAAAAUCAACAUGAAGGUGGAAUAGUUCUCUUUCCUUAUAAUAGGUGGAAGGCAAGUAACACCCAAAAAUAAAUAUACAAGGAAAAUUAGUUACAUUUGAAAGCUACAUCAUUAAGUAAUUUGGUAGAAAUAUUAAUGAAAAGUAGGCAAUUCAUUCAUGUUUCAUCAAAUCAAGUGGAAAGCUGUAUGCAUUGUUGACUAAUUUGCUGGAAAUAUUAAUGAUGAUUGAUGUUGUUUACAUAGACAUGUGGUUGUAUUGAUGGUUUGUGUGAGACCAAACAUUUUUUGGGUAUUGCAUGAAUUUGUGUUGCACCUGCAUAGUUAUAUAAAUAGCAAUUCGGUAAAUGUUUGAACAAAAUAUGAUCGAAAAACCGUCACAACAAAACUUCUACAAUACAUCUCAUUGCGGCUUUUAUUAUAUAGUAGAGAUAUGAGUAAGAAUAAAUGACGAUUUCUAUGGCCUAUAAUAUUGAGAAAGCAAAUAAGAAAAUUAUGUGGUUCGUAAUUAUUAGGCUAUUAAAUAUUUUGUGCCCCUGCGACCAAAAUUAUAACCAUGGAUGUAAAUAAAAUAAAAUAAAAACAUAUUUUAAUAUAAUUUUAUUGUUUUUAAUCAUGUACAUGACUAUUUUACUAUCGCUCUCACUACAUUAUCGAAUUGGUAUUCAAUGAAAAGAGGAUUGAUCACAAUAUAAGUUGGUAUAAUUACUCAGUACCUAAUUUGUGUUCUAUUAUUUUAUACUUUAAUAUCUUUUUUUGUACUUUAAUCUCAUUUAUUUAUAUUUAUUUUAUUAAAUAUACCUUGAUAUCAUAUAUUUGUACUCUCAUUUAAUAUCCUAAAUUUUAUCAUAUAUCUUCAAUGAUCGAUUUUCAAUGAUUGAAUUAUGUGUUUAGAAGGUACUGAAUCGGUACUUACUAAUUUUCAUUAUUUUUAAAGCAAAAGGUAAAUUGACAUUUGGUAUGUAUGAUGUGCAAUCAUGCCUCAUAAAGCCAAAACAAAGCAAAGAAUAUAUAUAUAUAUAUAUAUAUAUAUAUAUAUGCCAAAGACAUGAGAAUAAAGCAUGAUUCCAAUUCCAAAAGGGUUGAGAGAUUUAAGACCCACUUUAUAGAGCAACCAUGUGAUAAAUACACCAAUUGAAAUAUAUAUAUAUAUAUAUAUAUAUAUAUAUAAUAUACAUAGUCCAUUCCUUCUUUUGGCCUUUAAUAAACCCUAGAUUCUCAUAUACCUUUUUUUUUUUUUUUAUUCUAGUUGUCAGUGAAAUAACAAUAACCCAUUAAAUGGAAAAUACAUAAUUCAUAAUAGAAAUCAUUUUUUUCGGUUUUCUAUCUUAUUUUGUUGAAAUUAGAAACUACCCAUUUUUUUUAUUAAAAAAAAGAAAAAAAGAAAAAAAAGAAAAAUCUGUCUCGACUGAAGUUGGUCAGUAUAGACUUGCAGCCAUGUGUAUGUUAUUAAUUCUAUUUUUUUUUUGAAGGCAUAGGAAAGUUUCUAAAUAGAAAAAGUGAAGCUUCUCAAAAACGUCAUAUAGCAUAUGUGCGUAAAAAAUACUUGCACCACCUGAGCUGCUUCUUCAUACAUACUUCUCCUUCAUCUCUCUGUCUAUCAUAUUCUUGGCUUUCUUUUGCUAUGUGGUUGUUAUUGUUGUUGAAGAUGAUGAUGAUGAUGAUGAAGAAGAAGCUUCUUUCAAUUGUUAGUGCCAUCACUGGGGAAAAUGAUAAGAAGAAGAUCGAGGGAACUAUUGUGUUGAUGAAGAAGAAUGUGUUGGAUUUUAAUGACUUCAAUGCACCGGUUCGGGACCGGGUUCAUGAGCUUUUUGGACAGGGAGUCUCUCUGCAGCUCGUCAGUGCUGUUCAUGGUGAUCCUGGUGAGUUUUUUUUUUUUUUUUUUUCCUUCAUGUUUUUGAUGAUGGGGUUGUUGAAGUUGGAGGAGAGGAGGUUGAUACCGUUUUGUGAGGGUGAGAUGGGUUCUGAAUUUUGAUGAUAGCAAUUGGAAAAAGAUGUGAUUUUUGGAAGAGGCCAAGAGGGGUUGUUAUUCUCAGAGAUGAGUCAAAUGACUUUCUUGACAUCUUCCAUUCAAGUGGCCAUUUUUCUAAGUGCUUUUGUUUUUUGUGUUUUGUGUUUUUUGUUUUGAUGCUUUUGUAGCAAAUGGGUUACAGGGGAAAAUUGGAAAACCAGCAUACUUGGAAGACUGGAUUAUCACAAUCACUUCUUUAACCGCGGGCGAGUCUGCAUUCAAGGUCACGUUCGACUGGGAUGAGGAGAUUGGAGAGCCAGGGGCAUUCAUAAUUAGAAACAAUCACCACAGUGAGUUUUACCUCAGGACUCUCACUCUUGAAGAUGUUCCUGGACGUGGCAGAAUUCACUUUGUUUGUAAUUCCUGGGUCUACCCUGCUCAGCACUACAAAACUGACCGUGUUUUCUUCACUAAUCAGGUAAGACUAAUUUGCUUGAUACUAGGAGAGUCUGCUGUGGCAUUGUGGCCCAUUGAGCUUAGGCAAGGAGAAUUGUCUGCUAAAGGAAUGUGUUUAUUUUAUCUGCUGCAGACAUAUCUUCCAAGUGAAACACCAGGGCCACUGCGCAAGUACAGAGAAGGGGAACUGGUGAAUCUGAGGGGAGAUGGAACAGGAAAGCUUAAGGAAUGGGAUCGAGUGUAUGACUAUGCUUACUAUAAUGAUUUGGGGAAUCCAGACAGGGAUCUCAAAUACGCCCGCCCUGUGCUGGGAGGAUCUGCAGAGUAUCCUUAUCCCAGGAGGGGAAGAACUGGUAGACCACCAUCUGAAAAAGGUAGAUAUUUGAUGCAAAAAUUCAUAUUGUUUUCUCAUGCUUUUAUCAUAAAAGGAUGAAUAUGAUUGAUUUCUGCUCUUCUUUUAAUUAACAGAUCCCAACACCGAGAGCAGAUUGCCACUUGUGAUGAGCUUAAACAUGUAUGUUCCAAGAGAUGAAAGAUUUGGUCACCUCAAGAUGUCAGACUUCCUGGCUUAUGCCCUGAAAUCCAUAGUUCAAUUCCUUCUCCCUGAGUUUGAGGCUCUAUGUGACAUCACCCACAAUGAGUUUGACAGCUUCCAAGAUGUAUUAGACCUCUACGAAGGAGGAAUCAAGGUCCCAGAGGGCCCUUUACUUGACAAAAUUAAGGACAACAUCCCUCUUGAGAUGCUCAAGGAACUUGUUCGUACUGAUGGGGAACAUCUCUUCAAGUUCCCAAUGCCCCAAGUCAUCAAAG